This 63295-nucleotide long non-coding RNA is filed under the name Theobroma cacao (cacao). Its description in RNAcentral is "long non-coding RNA (TCAC_LNC000395)". The stretch from base 17983 to 18089 matches the Rfam family "Plant small nucleolar RNA R71". The record is from RNAcentral. Lineage: Eukaryota; Viridiplantae; Streptophyta; Magnoliopsida; Malvales; Malvaceae.
CAGUAAAUAAUUUUUGUAGCGUAAAAGCUAAAUAAAUUCAUACAUACUGUAAUACAGAUAACCAAAGUAUAAAAUUUAAUUUACAGUAACACGUGGGCCCACGAACGACCAAAAGUAUCAAAAGCGGUAAACCUACAGUUUUUGAGGAUGCAAGUCCAACUGUAGCCCUUAACGAAAUGAGUUAUUUACCAACUAUCCUGAGCCUAAAAUGGGUGGAAAGAAGGGUGGUGAGAUUAUACAAUCCCAAUGAGUAAACAAAUACCAUAGAAAAUAUCUAAAGUUGAGUAAAUGGAGACAGAAAAAAUAGUUUAUCAUAUUGUAAUUCAUCACCUUUCAACUCAUUUCAACCAAAUAAACUUAAUUCAUAUAAAUCGAGUAUUCAACAUGGCUUAUGAAUUUCUCAAAAGCUUUUGCUCGUGCCAAAAUCAUUCUUAUACUUAGUUAUCAAGGAUACCUUGGCCGAGGGCUAUCACAACUGAGUCCGCAAAGGCUGAUAAAAAGUUAUGUACGCAUAAAUUAUGUUUUUAUUUUAAAAACAUAGUCAUUCCUUAGCGUUGGCUGAGUUCACCCUCACGUGGUGGUUUGGCGUGAAGUGAACUUUAAAGUGUUAACCUCAGGAGUUAUCCGUCCGCGCCUCUCAUACUGAGGUAUGACUAUAACGGGGUUACCGUACGUCCUCUAAUAGGAUGGUCCACGGAACCCGUACACUGCAGCGACUAAUCAAUAACCCACUAAUUCAAUAAAAUUUAACAGCAUGACAUGGCAAUUUUAUCAUUAUCCAGCCUAUCAAGGCAAACAACAGUUUAUACAUUUUCAACAUAAAUACCAAUUCAGCUAUUCAUGCCAAUAUUGCCAUAAGCCAAUCAAUUAGAACCAUAAAUUCACAAUACAUCAAAUGGUCUCCAAUUACUUUAUUUUCAAAGCCAUCAUUCAAUUUCAAGACAAUUUUUAAAAUAAUUUCAUUUAAACACAUUUUGUUUAUAAAACAUAAAGAUUUACCAUUUAAACUCAUUUUUCAUAAAAUCACAAAAUCGGAGAAAAACCAUUAUAGAUAAUUAAGAUGAUAGUAAGGUUACUCACUAUUUCGGGAGUCGAAUUCCGAGUACUCCGAUUCUUGAUCCUCGGGUACUAUCUCUUUACUUUUGCCAAAAUGCUCACCACCUAGACAUAAUGCACAAUAAGCCAUUUACUAUAUUUGUGCUAAAUUGUUAUAAAACCAAUUCAGGCUCUAUAUUAAUGCAUGAAAUGGGAUGCAAAUUGUUCGGAUUAUUGUCUAAACACGGUGUUCUACACAAAUUCAAUUGUGUACCUAAAUAAAACGGUAUUGGCCUAAUUCGAUCUAUCACUCGAUUAAUUGGCCAAUAUGUCCAAUUUAACUCCAAAUAAUUCAAUUUUUCUUCUAAUUCUCCAAAUCAUCAAACACAAAUUAAAUAACUUGAAAUAUGGCGAAAUCAUCCUCACAUUUUUUCUUGGAAAAUUCGGCCAUCGUGGGUGCAUAACACUAUAAUUUUUCCUACAUGAUUCUCACACCAUAAAUCACUAAUUCCUAACCAAAUCACUUGAAAUAAAAUUAAAAUCAUCAUCAAUAUUCUACAUGGAGAAUUCGGCCAAUGAUGGGUGAUGGAAGAACAUGAUUUUUUCUUGCUUGAUUUUCAUGCUACACAUCACCAAUCAACUAAAAACACUAAAAUACAUUGAAAUCUAACCAAAUCAAGCAUCAAAACCUCUCUCUAAGUGUUCAGCCAGCAAGAUACCCAUCAUGAAAUCAUGUGAUUCAACCAUGAAAAAUGCAAAAGAAUGCAUGGGAAAGGUAGAUCACAAGUGAAAAUCAAAAAAUUUUACCUUUAAUUGCUUGAUUACUUGGAAUCCACCAAUUUUCUCUUGAAUUUUCACCCUAGGGUUCUUGUUCUUUCUUUUCUUCCUUUGUUCUUGCUUUGGCCGGCCAUAUGAAGAGAAAUGGGCUGAUUUUGUGCUAAUUUAUAAGGAAAAUAAUAAAUGGAUGAAACUUUGACACAUGUCACCAUUCCAUUAGUCCAUGUGUCAUACUUACCUAUUAAGCAAUCUCUCUCCACCACUUAAAUUUCCUCAAUUAUCCAUGAUAAUAUUGGGUAAAAUUCAUGUGCUGGACAAGUGUUGGGUGGUGUAAAAUUACAAUUUUGCCCUUGGGGUGGUAAAAUGACUAUUUUGCCCUUAUGCUCAAAAAAAUGCCGGAAUUAAAAUUUUUCACUUUUCAAACUCAAAUUAUGUUCUAUAUAAUCAAUCUUGACCAAAAGCUUCUUCCAACAUUUCAAUUUUAACCUCGGGUGGCAAAAUGACCAUUUUGCCCCUAGGUCAUGAAAAUUCUAAUUUGACUACAAAUUGGUCCUCGAACUCCGAAUCACCAUUUUAAGUCAUUCUGGGGUUUUAAAAUUCUCAAUUUCAUCUUAAAAUCUCUAUUUGGACUAGUUCGAGGCUUAAUUCAACUUAAUGGUACCAUUUGGUACAUUACCGUCCUUUAACGAUUUUCGAGGUACCCAAGUAAGCAAACAUGCAUUCUUAUGUAAGAAUGACAUAAUAAACAUAUUGUAGAGCCGGGCUUGACACCGCACAUGGCAAAUAUCAUCAUGUACACUCUUGCACCACAUCAUCACCGACAUGUGCACUCCCACACCGCACACACUCUAUUGUAAUUAACACACAAUAUUAUCGUUCAAGGCAUAACAUGCAUAGCAUCAUAAUAUAGGAACACAUGAAUUCAUCACAUUUCACAUUUCACAACAUAAAAACCUUUCAUCAAGGGCUUGUUCCCAUGCAUAUUUUAAAGAAAAGACCAAUAAAUAUUUUAAGUGAUUCAAUCAAACACUUAUGCAUUUAUCCCAAAACAUUUUAAUGCAAGUUCAUUCACCUGUCUUUGUUGACUCUUUAAGACUCCAACAUCCACUAACGCUCCAAAAGGAGAUGUGGGGUCUCGUUGGAACCUAUCACACAAAAUAGCAUCACAACCAACUCAUUUGACAUGAAUAUUAUUCCAAAAGCUAUUUUCUAAAUCAAACUUUACUAGUUAUUACUCACUAGUUUCCAAUUACCAUUUGACUAGUCAUUAGUUUGCACUACUCUAGUCACACUAGGAAUAAAUAAAUAACCUUAAACAAUAAAAUAGCCCACAAUUCUAAUUAUUGGCCAUUUAUCAACAACUUAAAAAUCAACCCUAACUCAUUACUCACCUUGAUGGAUUUGUAGUUGAAUUCCUUUUCAAAAGCUUUUCAAGCUAUUAUGCAAAGUCUCCCUCUCUCUCUAAAAUAUCAACUAGUGAGAGAAAGUGCUGAGGAAAGACUUUUGAGAGUUUUUAAAGUGAAAGAGUGAAGGAGCAAGAAAAAUCCUAUUGAAAGGUGUAUAGAAACAUGAAAAUUUGAGUUACUUUGAGAAAGUUAUGGAGGUUUUAAGGGUGGCCUCCAUGAAAGAUGGAGAGUUUGAAAUGGAGAGAAAGGAUGGGAGGAAGAAGAAAAAGCUGUUUGAAGUAAGAAAAAAGCUGCUGAAAAAUUAGAUAUUUAUUCUUAUGGUUGACAAAACUCCACUUAUUUACAAAAAUACCAUUGCAUAGUUGACAAAAGGUCCACAAUAGAUUAGAGGUACUCGAGUUCAUGAAAACUUACAAAUUUAGACUCGAGACCUAAAAUGACCAUUUUACCCUUAUUGUGGAAAUUAUCAUUAUUUCUAUUUUCUUCGUUUAUUUCAUUAUUAUAUACCUUAUUCAUUUAUUCCUUAAGCCUACUUAGACCUUAAUUAUAUUAGAAAAACCCACUUCUAGGAGCUUACCAAAAAAACGACAGAACUACCCCUAAUCCACGUCAUCGUGUCUACCUCUGCUACUGUCAAUUAAAUUCCUACUACGCAAGUAUACGUAUCGAAUACAUAGUAUAUUAACAAGUAGGGUAUCGAUCCCAUAAGGAAUUAAUCUAAAAUUUUACUAAGUACUAAAAUUAGAACAAUUUAAUCUUAUCCAAAUAAUCAAAAUUAAUUAAUUAACUAAAACUAAUUAACUAAAAUUAAAACCAACAAGAAAAAUCAAAAUAUUAACUUGAGAAAAUAUCAAAUCAACAAACCUAGGAUUACAAUAUCCCUCACACUUCAUCUAAAUCCUAUCUCUUUUCCUUAACUUAUUUCAAUGGGUUGAAUUGCUAACCUAGAGUCCUAAAUUAUUUAUAAGGGUCUCCCGACUCAUUUUAUAAAAAUAUCUAUUUUAAUAAAAACACUAUAUCCUUAUGUGAAUUGAAAUUAAAACAAACUCAUUAAGUUCAGGUUCUAAUCUUGCUACAUAUGGCCUAUAGGUAUAUCCCUAUCCUACACGCAAAUCAAUUAAUAUAAUCAUAUGCUAUCCCAAUUUUAGUCUACACUAAACUCCCUUUCCCAAGUUUGCUUAGGUUCCUAAAUCAAUUAAUUGGUGGCUAGACAAUUAAAAGCAUUAAGAACAAAUUGAAAUAAAUAAUUAAAAUCCCAUUAAAAAUAAGCAAGAAAGAGAUUAAAAAUUUAGACUACAUGUGAGUUCAAUUGCAUUCCUAGAAAAAGAAAUUUAGCUACUCAUAAUUGCAAAAUAAAAUAACAUUAUAAUAAAUUUAACCAUUAAAAGUAACAAGAGAAUUAAAAGCUAAGGAAAACACAAAACAAUUAUUGCCGACUUGAUCUCCAAGUUUCAGCCUCAACUUCUAGUUUUUUGAAUCUCUCAAAAGUUCCUCCUCCUAAUGUUGCUAAACAUAUCCUAUUUAUAUUAAUAAACUUAACCUAAAAUUCCUUAAGCUAAGGUUUAAUUUGGGCAUAAAAGUGUAAUGAGAGGCCCAAAAAUCAAUUGUCCAUCUUUACAAAUUUCCAUUCCCGAUACAAUAUGUUCAACCAUUUUUCGACGUGAUUUUCUCUAUCUUCGAAGCAGAACUGGGCAAAGUGAUCUUCAUGAAAGUUUUAGCUCUGUCUCUUAGCUAUUGGUCUAAGAAUUAUAUCAUUUGGAGUUCUAUAACUUGAGAUAUGGCCAAAAUAUCGAAGUAUAUGCAAGCAGAUUCUGGGUCUUUCAACACUUUACUUUCCAAAAUUAAGCCCAAUCACUUUUAAUCCUAUAAAAGAAAUAUAAAAACUAACAAAUGAUAACCAAAUUAAAAAGAAUAAUAUAAAAUUAAAAUAACUAGCUUAAAAGUAGCCUAAUUAUAAAACAAACUAAAAAUAAGUAAAUUAUAAUUGAAAAUUGAAGACUUAGCUAAUAUUUAAUAACAAAAUUGGAAUAAAAUAAUUCUAUAAAAUAGAAUUAUCACACCCUCAAACUUAAGAUUUUGCUAGUCCUUGAGCAAAAGAAAAUUUUAAAAAGAAAACUGAAUCAUAAAAAAUCUUUAAACAAGAGAUAGAAAUACCAAAUCAUGAUUUCUCAAUUUUUCCUCAGAAAUUAACUCUAAUUCCAACUUAAGGUAACAUACAACUAAUCUUUAAAUUCAUGCAUCAAUUCAAGUGAAACUUAUUUUUUCAAAUGGACUUCCUGUGUGUGUCUGAAUGCUCUCUUACAAAGAAUCAUGCAAUUUAGAUUAGUUUUAUGUCAACUCUAAGCAUAGAUUAGUACUAGGAUCCCAUAGGUUUACUUUUCAUUUCUCUCUCCACUAAUGUAGAUUAACACUUAUUCAAGGAUCAAUAGGUCUUUAUCAAGCUUGUAAUGUAAAGCUAGGGUCAAGGUAUGAUAAAGGAUAUAUUUAGGCUCAAAUUCACCCUAAGCACUUAAUCAAUCUAGAUCAUAUAAAGAGCUCAAAAAUUAUUUUUUUCUGUAUAGCACCCCCAAACUUGAAGUAAACUUUCCUUUGUACAACACACUUUAUUUCUUUUCUUUUCUCUUUUUUUCAACCCCCAAACUUAUUUUUGACAAUUAUAGACUAGGGGUAAUUUUACUAACAACCUUCACUUUUUGUGUUUUGUUUUUUUUUCAGACCUUUCUCUAUCAAUUUAUCUUUAAGCUCAAAUUUUUUUUCACACCUUUCUCCCUCAAUUUAUCUUUAAGCUCAAAUCAUUCUUUAGAACGAUUAACAUACUUAGAGGGUGAAAGGUUCAAAUUGCUGGAAUUAAAUAAACAGGCCAAGGCUAAUAUAACUGUGUAAUUACAAAGAAAAGGUAAAUUAGGCUUAAAAAGGGUGACUAAGGAUAAAUAUAACAAGGUAGGCUCAAACGAUCCAAAGAUGGCCUAAAUCACUUCCUAUCCUAAGUGUUAUCUAAGAUUUCGCCUCGAGAGAGAAUCAAACAAAUUUUAGAAUUCUUGACUCCACUAGACUUUUUCAUCAAUAUAAAAUUUCUCUAAAUCACACAUAAAUUCUAAGUAGAAGAGUAUAGUGCUUCAAAUUAUUGAAAGUCACAUUCUAAAAUAAAGCUAACACAAGAAUAUCACAUAAAAUUAAAUCCUAACUAUAUGCUUCCCAAAAGCAAAGAAUCAAAAGAUAAUUAAAAUAUCAUCCUAGGAUUGGGACAAUCAAGAAUAAGAUAUACCUAUCUCAAUUUUUUUUCAACACAACAAAACAUGCAAAACACAAAUAAAACAUGUAAAUAAACUAACAAAAUUCUAAACUAUUCCCCCAAACUUAGAAUGAACAUUGUCCUCAAUGUGAUAAAAGAAAAUAAAAGAAAAAGGACAAGAAUACUCCACUACUCGAAACUGCAGUCUGCAUGUCCUCCACAUGGCCACCACCCAUCAUCAACUCUCAGCAACAAAGCAUUCAUCAAUUAGAUAUGCAGCAAAUGAAAAGUUCAUGAAUCCAUUAUAUGGGUAACAAGAAAUUGGCACUAAUCUUCAAAAUUUUCAGCACUCUAAGCAUUAAUCAUGAGGAAGUCUGAAAAACUUAGGAGUGCAGGAUUUCAAAAAAAAUUAAAAAAAUCCAAGUAGAAAGAAAAUGCAAAAAUUUGGAGUGAAAAAAGGAAGAUAGAGGAACGCAAGAGAUUGGCAAGAUGAGGAAUAAUGGGAGUAGGGAUGGUAGUCAAAGAAGAAGAAGAGUGACAAAAGAAGAAAAGAAAAAGAAAAAAAUAUAUAAAUAAAAAAAUAAAAAAGAUUUUCAAAGCAAAAUUUUUUUUUUCACCCGAAGCUUUACACUUCGGGCUUGAGCGCCGCGGCUCUCAGGGUUGAGCGGGGCUACGCUUAACUUUUCUGCCAAUCGUUGUUUGUUUAGCAUCGCGGCACUCCAAAUGAGGCCAGCGACGUUGAAACAUUCUGUUUCAGUGACUAAUUGUUGCUUCAUCCAGCGUCACGGCUCUCCCUUUAAGGGCCGCGAUGCUGAAACAUUUUGUUUCAUGCUGCAGCGCUUAUUUCUUUUUUUUUUUACCAAUUACUUGCAAAAGGAAUCAAAAGACAAAAAAAAUUAAUAAAUCAAAAAAAAUAAAUUCUAACUAAACUAAAAACAAUUUUAAAAAAUAAAAAAUAAGUAAAGUUUAGAAACUUAGGUUACCUCCCAAGAAGCGCUCGUUUGUAGUCACUAGCUUGACUAUAGUGCCCCCUUUUUCAGUUCUUCAUCCUCGAAAUAUCGUCUAAGGCUCAUCCCAUUAACCAUGGUUGUUUCUGUAUCCUCACUAUAAAUCUCAAUUAUUCCACAAGGAUAAGCCUUUACUACUUUGAAAGGACCCCACCAUCUUUCUUUGCGUUUCCAUGGAAAAAGCUUGAAGUAUGAUCUAGAAAGCAGCAUUACUUGUUGUCCAAUCUCGAAAGGACGAUUAGAUGGUGGUGAAAGAUGCUCCGUUGGUGAUUGCUCAGCUCUCACAGGCCGAGGUGGUGGCUUAAACUCAAAGAUUGGUGCUUGCUCACUUAUAGGUGGAGAAUUAGGUUCACCUUUUCCUUUAUCAAUUAGCUCCACUCUAUAGCAACAAUUUGUAGAGCUAGGAUGUUUAUUUGCAUUGAAAAUAUUAAACUCAACUACCUCUUCUCCAAUUUUAAAAGUUAUCUUGCCUUCCCUCACAUCAAUGAUUGCGCCUGCGGUAGCCAAGAAUGGUCGUCCCAAGAUUAAAGGAAUUUCUUGAUCUUCUUCCAUCUCAAGCACAAUGAAGUCCACCAGAAUGUAAAGAUGCCCAACUUUAACCAAUAUAUCCUCAAUAAUCCCAACAGGAUACCUGAUUGUUCAUCUACUAAUUGCAAAGAAACUGUGGCAGGUUGUAUCUCUUUAAGUCCAAUUUUCUCGGCAGUUGACAAUGGUAUGAUUGAAACGCUUGUACCCAAAUCACAUAAAGCUUUAGUAAAUUUAAAUCUACCAAUAGUACAAGGUAUAGAAAAACUCCUUGGAUUUUUAAGUUUUGGUGGAAGCUUGUUCUGAAUUAUUGCGCUACACUCCUCAGUAAGUGCCACUGUUUCAAAAUCUUCAAGUUUCCUCUUCUUAGUUAAGAUAUCUUUCAGGAAUUUGACAUAACUUGGCAUGUUUUCCAAAGCUUAAGCAAAAGGGAUGUUUAUGUGGAGUUUCUUGAAAACAUUAAGGAAUUUCUCAAACUGUUUAUCAAGCCUUUGCUUUUUCAACCUUUGUGGGAAUGGUGGUGGAGGGUAAUUUGCUUCAAAAUUCCCUUGAUUUUUAGCUUGCCCAUUAUCUGCCUUUCCCACUGCAACUUAUUUCUCAACAAUCGCCUUGUCAUCAUCUAGAUACUCCUUUGAAGAUUCAAUUGAUUUUUCAUUCACCCCUUCAACUUCUUUUCCACUCCGAAGUGUAACUGCAUUAUAAUGUUCCUUACCUUUGGGAUUGACUUGUGUAUCACUUGGUAAGGCACCUUGGGGUCUAAUGUUUAUGGAGUUUGCAAGCUGUCCCAUUUGGGUCUCUAGAUUUCUCAAGGAGGCUCCAUAGCUCUAAAUUAUGGCAUCAGUCUUGGACAUAUAUUGCAAGAUAAGUUCUUCCACUUGGGACUUCUUUUCAAGAAUUGGUGGUCUAGAUUAUUGUUGAAAACUAGGAGGCAUGUUGGGGUUUGAAUUGGAAGGCCCUGCAUUGUUGUUCCAUGAAAAGUUGGGGUGGUUUCUCCAACUAGGAUUGUAUGUAUUAGAGUAUGGGUUAUUCUGUUGCUUGUUGAAGUUCCCCACAAAUUGGACUGAUGUAGAAUUGUAUGAACAUUGAUCACUGGAAUGGCCAUCUCCACACAUCUCACCAACUACACAUGAAUUUUGAAUUGCAUGGACUCCUAGUGUGUCAAUUUUCUUGAACAAUGCAGUCACUUGUGCAGCUAAGUUGCCAAUUGCAUCAAUUUCAUAUGCUCCAACAGCUUUUCUCGAACCCGACCUUUCUGAAGGCCAUUGAUAAUUAUUUGAAGCCAUCUCUUCCAACAAAUUAUAAGCGUCUACAGCAUUCUUACUCAUCGAUGCCCCACCAACAGCAGCAUCAAUUGUGGUUUUAAUUGACCCAACCAGCCCAUUGUAGAAUGUCUGAACUUGCAACCAAUCAGGAAUCCCAUGAUGUGGACAUAUUCGCAGUAGUUCUUUAAACCUUUCCCAAGCUUCAUACAAGGACUCAAAAUUGUGUGAAUGAGGUGAUGUCGUUCCUCAACUUUGCAGUCUUUGUAGGCGGAAAUAACUUUGUGAGAAACUUUUGAGCCAAGUCCUCCCAUGUAGUGAUAGACCCAUUGGGCAGUGAAUUAAGCCAGCUUUUUGCUUUAUCUCUCAAAGAGAAUGGAAACAGUCUCAACCUAAUAGCAUCAUCAGUUACUCUAUUGUAUUUAAAGGUAUCACAAAUCUCCAAAAAAUUAACUAAAUGAGCAUUAGGAUCAUCAUUGGGUAAUCCACCAAACUGGACCGAAGACUGGAUCAUCUUAAUGUAAGCUGGUUUAAUUUCGAAAUUAUUUGCAUUGAUAGAAGGUCUCCUAAUACUUUGGUGCAAACCUUGCAACAAAGGAACUGCAUAAUCUCGCAAUGCUCUAGUUGCUUCGGGAUCUAGAUUAAUGGCAUUAUUUCCAUUAUUAUUGUUAUCCUCAGCCAUUGUCUAAUUUAAAGUUGCAACUUGCAAAUUCUCCCUUCGAUGUCUUUUAAAAGUUCUUUCUAUCUCAAGAUCAAAAGGAACAAGAUUCAAGUUCUCUCUUCUUUGCAUACAAUGACCAAAGAUAUCUGCAAGCAAACAAAAUCUAAAAUUAAAACAAGAAAAAUAAAAUUUGAAGUAAAACCAAAUUGCUUGGUAUUAGUAUUAGUAAAAAGUCUAGAAACAAUUCCCCGACAACGACACCAAAAACUUGUCAAUUAAAAUCCUACACGCAAGUUUACGUAUCGAAUAGAUAGUAUAUUAGUAAGCAAGGUAUCGAUCCCACAGGGAAUUAAUCUAAAAUUUUACUAAAUACUAAAAUUAGAACAAUUUAAUCUUAUCCAAAUAAUCAAAAUUAAUUAAUUAACUAAAACUAAUUAACUAAAAUUAAAACCAACAAGAAAAAUCAAAAUAUUAACUUGAGAAAAUAUCAAAUCAACAAACCUAGGAUUACAAUAUCCCUCACACUUCAUCUAAAUCCUAUCUCUCUUCAUUAACUUAUUUCAAAGGGUUGAAUUGCUAACCUAGAGUCCUAAAUUAUUUAUAAAGGUCUCCCGACUCAUCUUAUAAAAAUAUCUAUUUUAACCAAAACACUAUAUCCCUAUGUGAAUUGAAAUUAAAACAGACUCAUUAAGUUCAAGUUCUAAUCUGGCUACAUAUGGCCUAUAGGUAUAUCCCUAUCCUACAUGCAAAUCAAUUAAUAUGAUCAUAUGCUAUCCCAAUUUUAGUCUGCACUAAACUCCCUUUCCCAAGUUUGCUUAGGUUCCUAUAUCAAUUUAAUUGGUGGCCAGACAAUUAAAAGCAUUAAGAACAAAUUGAAAUAAACAAUUAAAAUCCCAUUAAAAAUAAGCAAGAAAGAGAUUAAAAAUUUAGACUACAUGUGAGUUCAAUUGCAUUCCUAGAAAAAAAAAAUUUAGCUACUCAUAAUUGCAAAAUAAAAUAACAUUAUAAUAAAUUUAACCAUUGAAACGAACAAGAAAAUUAAAAGUUAAGGAAAACACAAAACAAUUAUUGCCGACUUGAUCUCCAAGUUUCAGCUUCAACUUCUAGUUUCUUGAAUCUCUCAAAAGUUCCUUCUCCUAAUGUUGCUAAACAUAUCCUAUUUAUACUAAUAAACUUAACCUAAAGUUCCUUAAGCUAGGUUUUAAUUUGGGCUUAAAAGUGUAAUGAGAGGCCCAAAAAUCAAUUGUCCAUCUUUACAAAUUUCCAUUCCCAAUACAGUACGUUCAGCCAUUUUCCUACGUGAUUUUAUCUAUCUUCAAGGCAAAACUGGGCAAAGUGAUCUUGAUCAAAGUUGUAUCUCUGUCUCUUAGCUUUCAACUGGUUUAAGAAUCACAUCAUUUGAAGUUCUAUAGCUUGAGAUAUGACCAAAAUACCGAAGUAUAUGCAAGCAGAUUCUGGGUCUUUCAACACCUUACUUUCCAAAAUUAAGCCCAAUCACUUUUAAUCCUACAAAAGGAAUAUAAAAACUAAUAAAUGAUAACCAAAUUAAAAAGAAUAAUAUAAAAUUAAAAUAACUAACUUAAAAGUAGCUUAAUUGUAAAAACAACUAAAAAUAAGUAAAUUAUAAUUGAAAAUUGAAGACUUAGCUAAUAUUUAGUAACAAAAUUGGAAUAAAAUAAUUCUUUAAAAUAAAAUUAUCAGCUACACGUCUAUGAAGGUCGAGGCUUCACAGAUGUUGAGGUGGUCUCUAAGGUGGUGGACAGCGUGGAAUCGAAAAAAAACUAUAGCUGGCAGCCGACAACUUGUGGGCAUAAAAUCGAUUCAUAAUUUCAACAUCCAACAAUGCUUUACAUUGCAAGAUUUCUUCAUUUUUAUCCCAACGUACACCCACUUUCUUGCACAAGGUGGUGAUCAAUGAUGGAUACCAAAGUCUAUCACACAGCAAGCGGUUAGCUUGAACAAUACUGUUGAAUAUCAAUUGGCCCACAUUGAUUGACAUUCUAGAAAUAAUGGCAUAUAACAAGAUAGCUCAAUCCCUUGUGAUGUCACUAAUAUGUUUCACAGGAAGUAAUCUAGUAAACAAAAAGUGAUACCAUAGCUUAUGAACUGUCUUCAUGGUACUAGCCUUAAAAGACACAGGUAUGCCUUUUGUCAUUUUCCAUUCCCCCCCUCAUCACAAAGUACACCAAGAACCCCAUCCAAAUCAAUGUUGCCCGUUAAGAACUGGCCAUAGUCAUCAUGUUCAAUAUCAAGUUAUAAAAUUGAUUGAUGGUGGCAUUAUCAAAACGAACUUGAUAGCCUCGUACAAACACUUGGCCAUGAACAUGUUUAGCGGCAUUGGCGUAGAAUAUUAUAAACCCUUGGUAAGACAGCGGCCUUAGGUUGGUCACAAAAUUUCUCCCAUUGCCACCUAGUGAUGACCUUAUGAACAAAACUAUAUAGCUCAAGAUUGAGAUCAAUGCCACUUUCCUGAAUAAGGACUUUAUGCACAAGGAAUUGCAUAUGUCUCUCAAUGGCAUCAGUAGACACAAAUUUACUGUGAUCAAAUCGAGUCUUACUACCACUCUUGUGAGUUCUUUUCUUUGGUGCCAUCCCGCUCACGCAAAUAGAAAAUACUUCCUCCUAAAACAAGCCACCACAAUCCAAGUAAAUUACCCAUUCAAUUAUAUUUUAUUAUUAGGAAACAAAAACAACACCUCCCACAAGUUCUAUGCCCUGUCAAAUAUUGAUAGUCAUCCUUCAUCCUCAACAACAAUGAAAUGCAGCACAAAUUGAUUAGAAAGAAAAAAAAAUCCAACACAUCUAGUUUAAACUAGCAUUACUUCAAGCAACCCAUUCCUAACUAACAAAUUGACAAAAGAAGGGAAAAAUUAACUUACUUGGUUGAAGAAUACAGAAAAUGUGGAGAAUGAAUGGAAGGACAACCUUACUCUUCACAAAAAAAAAUUGGUGAAAUUUAAAAAUACUGGGUGGGUGUAAAGUGGGUGGAAAGGGAAGGAAGAAAUCUAAAGGUUAGAGAGAAAAGGGAGCCCUAAAAUAUGAAGAAAGGGUGAGAGAAAGGAAAAUCAGGGUUUUUCUUUAAAGCCCCGUGACAUAGUGCCGUGACGCUCCUUUCUGGCAUCGUAAUGGCCUUUUCUUGAGUUUUUGUACAAGAGGGGGCCUGAUGCACUACAACUUGGCGUUGGGUUCAUGGCUCUGCAACGUCAUUUUUUUUAAUUUACUUACCUCAUGAGAGUCCAUAGCUACAACAAUCGAAUAAAUAACAAUCAAUUAACGAGGAAGGAAAUAUAAAAUUGACACAUUAAAAUUUCAAAUUGACUCGAAUUAAAAAAAUACUAAGAUAAAUGAUGUUGAGAAACUUGAGGUGCCUCCUAAGAAGCACUUCGUUUAGGGUCAUUGCUAGAUCAAUGUGGAGUUCAUUUGGUGUCAAAGAGAUGGAUGGACGAUCAGUGUUGAUCAAUAAGUCCACCUAGUAGUGCUUUAAUCGUUGUCCAUUCACCUUGAACAUCUCAUUGGUCAACCCAUCAAUUAUUUCCAUUGCUGCAUGUGGAAACACUUUUGACAUAUUAAAAGGUUUGAACCAUCUUGAUUCCAAUUUUCCUAGAAAUAACUUCAAUCGUGAAUUAAACACCAAAACUUGCUGACUUGGCUCAAAAUGGCACUCGAUAAUCUUUUGAUCAUGCCAUCUCUUCGUCUUUUUCUUUUACAAUUUGGCAUUCUCAUAAGCAUUUAAGCAAAUUUCAUCCAUCUAAUUUAAUUAAAGCAAUCUUUUCUCACCUGCUGCUUUUAAAUCGAAAUUUAAUUUCUUGAUGGCCCAAAAUGCACUAUGCUCUAAUUCAACUGGGAGUGACACGCUUUUCCAAACACAAACUAAUAUGGGGACAUACCUAUUGGAGUUUUGUAAGUUGUCCAAUACGCCCACAAUGCAUCAUCAAGUCUACUAGCUCAGUCUUUUUGUGACAAUGAUACCAUUUUCUCAAGAAUUCUUUUGAUUUCCUAAUUUGAUACUUCCACUUGUCUGCUCGUCUGAGGGUGAUAAGUUGUGGUUACCUUGUGUGACACUCCAUACUUUAUGAGUAACGUUGUAAAAUAUUUAUUGCAAAAAUGACUUCUUCAUCACUCAAUAGCUCUUGGUGUAUCAAAUUUGGUGAAAAUGUUUGUCUUUAAAAAUUUCAUCACCACCUUAAUAAUGUUUGUAGGGAAGACUGAGGCUUCUACCCAUUUUGACACAUAAUAGACAGCCACCUAAAUGUAUCGAUUGUUGAAUGACGAUAUGAAUGGUCCCAUGAAAUUGAUUCCCAAACAUAAAAAAUUUCCACUUCCAAAAUGCUGUUAAGCGAGAUUUCAUGUCUUCUGAAAAUGUUUCCCAUUCUUUGACAUCUGUCACAAUGCAACAUAAAGUUAUGAGCGUUUUUGAAUAAUGUUGGCCAAUACAAACCUUAUUGAAGAACUUUGGCCGUUGUUCUAUCACCUCCAAAAUGACCCCCAUUUUUAUAUGAGUGACAAUGUCUCGACACAUUUUCAACUUCUUCCUCUGGAAUACACCUUCUUAUAAUUCUGUUAGCACAUUUCUUCAACAAAAAUGGUUCAUCCCAUAGAUAAAAUUUAACAUCAUGCAAAAAUUUCUUUUUUUGAUGAAAAGUUAAAUUUAGAGGUAGAAGCUUACUCACAAUGAAGUUGACAUAGUCAACAUACCAUGGUAAUUUCUUAUGACCAACAUGUAACAAUUGUUCAUCAGGGAAAGUUUCGUUGAUCAAAGUCACAUCUUUACCUUGGUUGUCAUGCUCUAGCACAAAUAGUUGGCUACUUGAUUUUCUGAACCUUUUAUGUCUCUGAUUUCUAAAUCAAAUUCUUAUAACAGCAGAACCCAUCUUAUUAACCUUGGCUUGGCAUCUUUUUUAGCAAUCAAAUACUUAAUUGCAUAAUGGUUAGUAUAAACAAUAACUUUAGUGCUAAUCAAAUAUGAGCAAAAUUUGUCAAAUGCAUACACAAUAGCUAAUAAUUCUAUCUUAGUGGUAAUGUAGUGCAUUAGAGUUUCAAUCAAGGUUUUACUUGCAUAAUAUAUAGAAUGAAAAAUUUUAUUCUUUCUCUAUCCUAACACUGCACCUACAACCUUGUCACUAGCAUCACAAAUAAGUUCAAAUAAGAGUGACCAAUCAGGAACUACAAUAAUAGGUGUAAUUGUCAACCUUUUUUCAGUUUCUAUAAAUGUAGCAUGACAUGCAUCAUCAAAUUUAAAUGGGAUGUCUUCUUCUAAAAGAUUGCACAAAGGUUUAGCAAUUUUGGAAAAAUCCUUAAUGAAUCGUCAAUAAAAACCAACAUGUCCAAGGAAACUCUAAGUAUCUUUUACCAAGGUUGGUGGUGGACGCUUUUCAAUGGUCUCAAUCUUAGCUUUGUCUACCUCUAAUCCUUUGCUCGACACCUUGUGACCAAGAACAAUGCCUUCUUGUACCAUAAAAUGGCACUUCUCCCAAUUUAAAACUAGGAUCGUCUCCUCACAUCUUUGCAAUACCCUAUCUAGAUUGAGCAAACAUUCAUCAAAAUUAUUGCCAAAGACAGAGAAAUCAUCCAUAAAUGCCUUUAUGGUUUUCUCCACCAUAUCCUAGAAGAUAAACAUCAUGCAUUGUUGAAACGUGACCAAAGCAUUACACAAUCUAAAUGGCAUCCUUUUAAAUGCAAAAACACCAUAAGGAUAUGUGAAAGUUGUUUUCUCUUGAUCUUUUGGUGCUAUGGAAAUUUGAUUAUAACUUGAGUAUCCAUCCAAGAAACAGUAAUACUCUCUUCUAGCUAACCUUUCCAACAUUUAGUUAAUGAAAGAUAAAGGAAAAUGAUAUUUCCUUGUGACCUUGUUUAGCUUUCUGUAAUCCACGCAUACUCUCUAUCCCAUGACUAUUCGUUUGGGAAUGAGCUCAUUGUUUUCGUUAGCCACCACUAUCAUCCCACCUUUUUUUGGUACGCAUUACACCAAGCUUACCCAUUCACAAUCUAAAAUAGGAUAAAUGAUGCCAGCAUCUAAGCCACUUGAUUAUUUCUUUCUUGACUACUUCUUUCAUAAUUAGAUUCAAUCUCAUCGAUGCUCAAUAGUGGCUUUGUGAUUAUCCUCUAACAAAAUUUUAUGCAUGCAUAUUGAAGGACUUAUCCCCUUGAUAUCAACUAUUGACCACCCCAAUGCCUUUUUUGUCCUCUUUCAAAACUCUAAGUAACUUUUCUUCCUGUUUAUUAUUAAGAUCAGAUGCAACAAUAAUUGGAAGAGUACAUGAGUUUCCAAGAUAUGCAUACCUCCAAUGUUUUGGCAAUGGCUUCAGUUCUAACUCAGGGGGAUCCUCAAUUAAAGGUUUCACUGGUGAGGAUGAAUAUGAAGACAAAUCUAACAGUUCAAACCGAGUUCCCAAUAACAGAGACAGGGCAUUCAAUGCAUUAACACAUUUUAUAAUUUCUUCAUUACUAGUCUCAAUUUAGAAAUCAAUGAUGCUUCAAGUAAGUCAUUAGGAUGAUUUUCCAUAAAGACUUCACUUGUGGCCCUAUCUACCACAGUAAUUGCAAAACACUCAUCAUGAUCAUUAAUGAACUUUAAAGCACAAAAGAUAUUCAAUGUUACCUCUUGAUCUUAUAGUUGCAAGGUAAGUUCUCCCUUUUCAACUUCAAUGAGUUCUCUGGCUGUGCGUAAAAAAGGUCUCCCAAGGAUAACAAGAACCUCUUUAUCUUCCUUCAUAUCAAGAACUAUAAAAUCAGUUGGGAUAUGAAUUUAUCCACUUUCACAAGCACAUCUUCCACUAUGCCUCUUGGAUAUAUGAGAGUUCUAUCUAUUAAUUGAAGAGUUAUAAUGGUGGGCUUGAUUUCCCCCAAACCCAAAUUGUUGUAGAUUAACAAUGGCAUCAAAUUAAUACUCGCCCCUAAAUCACUUAAAACCUUAGCAAAGAAUAAGGCACCAAUUGUACAUGGAACAGUAAAACUGUCUAGGUCUUUAAGUUUUUGAGGAAGCUUAUUCUAAAUGAUUGCACUACGCUCCUCAAUGAGUGCUACUGUCUUAAACUCACCCAAUCUCCUUUUCUUGGAUAAAAUGUCCUUCAGAAAUUUUACAUAGGAUGGCAUUUGCUCUAGUGCCUCUGUAAAUGGAAUGGUGAUGUGAAGCUUUUUAAAUAAGUUCAUAAAUUUCUAAAACUUUCUUUUUAUUGCUUCUUAAAAUGUUGAGGAAAAGGUGGUGUUGGUGCAGUUGCCUUAGUCACUUCUAUUAGACAUUGAUCACUAGACCUUGAAAUUUGAGUCUUAUUCUCCCCAAUUUUGUCUUGUUGUGCAACUUCUUAUGGUUUACUUUCAACUUCCUUUCCACUUCUUAAAUUGAUGGCCUUGACAUGCUUUUUUCCCUCUCUCCUCGGAUUGGCCUCUAUAUCACUAGGUAAUGUUCCUUGAGCUUGGUUGUGCAAUAAAUUGGUAAGUUGACCAACUUGAGUCUUAAGGUUUCGAAGUGAGGCUGCUUGAUUUUGGAUGAUAGUUGUUUGACUUUGUAUGUUGCCAUCAUUUUGUGUCAUAUAUUGCCUUAACAAAUCUUCAAUAGUUGGCUUCUUUUAUGAAAGAGGUGCUUUGACUUGCUAUUGGAAUCUCAGAGGUGCAUUCGGCCAUGAAGUUGAUGACACCCCUUGAUUGUGAGCCCAAGAGAUAUUUGGAUGAUUCCUCCACCUUGGGUUGCAAGUGUUAGAGUAAAGGUUAUUUUGCUAUCUCUUCCCCAUAAAUUGCAUUGUUUUUGUUGAGGUUGGACACUAAUGAGUGGCAUGAUUAUCUCCAUAAUACUCAUAAGCUAUAAAAGGACUUUGCACAAAGUUAGUACUAAAAGAUUUAAGAGUUGUAGUUAGAGUUGUUAUCUGAGCAAAUAGUGCUGACAUGGCAUCUACAUCAUGAAUUCCAACUACUCUCUUAUGCAUUGAUUGUUCCAUUGGCCAUGUUUGCAAAUAUCUCUUCUAAUAAAUCAUAUGUCUUAUUUAUCGAUUCAGUCAUUAAAGCUCCUUUCACAACAGCACCAAUAAUGGUUUGGACCUGCCCACUCAAACCAUUGUAAAAAGUUUGCACCUAAAGCCACUUUGGAAAACCAUGAUGAAGACAACGCCGAAGUAAUUCUUUAUAUCUUUCUCAAGCUUCGAACAACUAUUUAGAAUCUUGCUACAUAAAUGAUGUAAUAUCAUUCCUAAUUUUUGCUAUCUUAGUUGGAGGAAAAAACUUGGCAAGGAACUUCUAAACAAGAUCAUCCCAUUUUGUUAUUAAGCCAGUGGGGAGUGCAUUCAGCCAUGCUUUAACGUUAUCCCUCAAUGAGAAAGGAAAAAGACUCAAACAAAUUGUAUCAUCUGUGACACUAUUCUAUUUGAAAGUGUCACUAAUCUCCAAGAAGUUUGAUAUAUGGCCAUUUGGAUUAUCAUUUGGAAGGCCCCUAAAUUGGACUGAGGUUUGAAUCAUGGUGAUGAUAGCUGACUUGAUCUCAAAAUUGUUUGCUUGAAUAGUUGGCCUUCAAAUGCUCGAUGGAAUUUCAUGUACCAACGGAGCAACAUUGUCACGACCUAAAUUUUCGGGCCAUGAUCUACGCAAGAGCCCAAUAAACGUAGCCUAUUAAGCCCAAGCAAGCCUAUCUAUUUAUUCUACUCAUCAUUCCAUCAAAUAUCACUAAGUCAUAUUUCAUACUUUUGAAUCAAAAUAGUGAUAUACAUUGCCAACUCGUACUGGCAUUACUCCUUAAAAAUUUACAUACAAUGUCUACAACAUGUAUUCUAAUAAUUUACAUUAAGUUUGUCUAUACAAAACAAAAUAACACUCGACUUCCAGNNNNNNNNNNNNNNNNNNNNNNNNNNNNNNNNNNNNNNNNNNNNNNNNNNNNNNNNNNNNNNNNNNNNNNNNNNNNNNNNNNNNNNNNNNNNNNNNNNNNNNNNNNNNNNNNNNNNNNNNNNNNNNNNNNNNNNNNNNNNNNNNNNNNNNNNNNNNNNNNNNNNNNNNNNNNNNNNNNNNNNNNNNNNNNNNNNNNNNNNNNNNNNNNNNNNNNNNNNNNNNNNNNNNNNNNNNNNNNNNNNNNNNNNNNNNNNNNNNNNNNNNNNNNNNNNNNNNNNNNNNNNNNNNNNNNNNNNNNNNNNNNNNNNNNNNNNNNNNNNNNNNNNNNNNNNNNNNNNNNNNNNNNNNNNNNNNNNNNNNNNNNNNNNNNNNNNNNNNNNNNNNNNNNNNNNNNNNNNNNNNNNNNNNNNNNNNNNNNNNNNNNNNNNNNNNNNNNNNNNNNNNNNNNNNNNNNNNNNNNNNNNNNNNNNNNNNNNNNNNNNNNNNNNNNNNNNNNNNNNNNNNNNNNNNNNNNNNNNNNNNNNNNNNNNNNNNNNNNNNNNNNNNNNNNNNNNNNNNNNNNNNNNNNNNNNNNNNNNNNNNNNNNNNNNNNNNNNNNNNNNNNNNNNNNNNNNNNNNNNNNNNNNNNNNNNNNNNNNNNNNNNNNNNNNNNNNNNNNNNNNNNNNNNNNNNNNNNNNNNNNNNNNNNNNNNNNNNNNNNNNNNNNNNNNNNNNNNNNNNNNNNNNNNNNNNNNNNNNNNNNNNNNNNNNNNNNNNNNNNNNNNNNNNNNNNNNNNNNNNNNNNNNNNNNNNNNNNNNNNNNNNNNNNNNNNNNNNNNNNNNNNNNNNNNNNNNNNNNNNNNNNNNNNNNNNNNNNNNNNNNNNNNNNNNNNNNNNNNNNNNNNNNNNNNNNNNNNNNNNNNNNNNNNNNNNNNNNNNNNNNNNNNNNNNNNNNNNNNNNNNNNNNNNNNNNNNNNNNNNNNNNNNNNNNNNNNNNNNNNNNNNNNNNNNNNNNNNNNNNNNNNNNNNNNNNNNNNNNNNNNNNNNNNNNNNNNNNNNNNNNNNNNNNNNNNNNNNNNNNNNNNNNNNNNNNNNNNNNNNNNNNNNNNNNNNNNNNNNNNNNNNNNNNNNNNNNNNNNNNNNNNNNNNNNNNNNNNNNNNNNNNNNNNNNNNNNNNNNNNNNNNNNNNNNNNNNNNNNNNNNNNNNNNNNNNNNNNNNNNNNNNNNNNNNNNNNNNNNNNNNNNNNNNNNNNNNNNNNNNNNNNNNNNNNNNNNNNNNNNNNNNNNNNNNNNNNNNNNNNNNNNNNNNNNNNNNNNNNNNNGCUUCCUUAAAACCUAGGAUCACAUUAACAUAAACAAUAGAUCAAUUUACACACUAUGACCCCUAAAAGCUAUCUCUAAACUAGCUUUCAAUUGCCACAUUAAAUGGCCAUCUAUGUUCACUAUCUUAAUCACUAAAAGUAAUGAACAUAAUCAAUAAUAAAACAGCUCAUAAAUCCCAAUUACUAGCCAUUUUCUGCAGCUAAAAACCAAGCUUAAUUCAUCACUUACCCUAAGGCUCCUUUGUAGUCAAAUUCUCUUCUAAUUGCUUCCAAAUCAGUGGGGUAAUUCUCUCUUUCUCUCUCUAAAAUGCCCAACUAGUGAGAGAAAGCAUGAAAACCAUAUUUUUGAAGGGUUUUAAAGUGAGAGGAUGAAAGAGCAUAAGGGUUUAUGGAAGAGUACACCAAAAGCAUGAAAUUUGGAGCUAGAAAGAGAAAGUUAUGGAAGCUUGAAGAAAACUCCCAUGGAAGAAUUGAAGAAACGUGAGAGAGGAGAAGGGAAGAAGAAGACAGCUGUUGGAAAUUUCAAGAAGCUGCUGGAAAUUCAAGAUAUUUAUAGGCCAAAUUUAUCCAUUCCCAUAAAAUUACCAAUUUGCCCUUUCACCAAUUAACUUACUCUCCUCCAAUCUUUUAUGAAAUCUUUUUGCUCCUUUAACACAGGGACAAAGUCCAUAAUUGUCUAGACAUGUUCAAGUUCAUAAAAACUUAAAAUUUUAACCCGAGGUGAAAAAUGACCAUUUUGCCCCUACCAUGAAAAUCGUCAAAAUUUUGGUUUCCUUUCCAUUUUACCCCUAAUUUCACCAUCCAUUUAUGCCUUAAGCCUACUUAGGCCAUAAUAUUGUUUAAAACUUACUUUUGGGAGCUUAUUAGAGAAAAUGACGAAACUACCCUUGGCUCGUAUUAUUACAUCUAUGCUUGGUUACAAGCCUAUAGAGGUUGGGGUCUCACAAACAUAAUCCCCUAACCAAUGAUUUUCAGCUACUAUGCGCACUUGGAUUUGCUGUUCACCUUGUUGAUCAGCCAUUGUAUUUAUUGGAGCAACACCUUGUUGAUUGUUAUGUCGAAGUCUACGAAAUGUUCUCUUAAUUUCUAGAUCACACGGCAUAGUCUUCAAGUUGUUUGCUCUUUUCAUACAACGACUGAACACUUACAAAACAAAGAAAUAAAACUUAAAGUAAGACUAAUAUGUGAAAUUUUAAUAUUAACAAAUAAUAAAAAAACAAAAUCCCUAACAACAGUGCCAAAAACUUGUUGUAAGUUUGCACAUGUAAGUAUACAUAUCGAACAAGUAAUAUAGACAAAAAGUCCAAAUUAUCGUUCCCACGAGGAUUUGUUUCUAAAGUUUCACUAAGUACUAAAAUUAUAUAACAAAUUAAUCUUAUUUAAGCUAAUUGAUAAUUGAAAAACUAAUCAAAGACAAUCAAAACUAAAUAAUAAGUUAACCAGCAAAAACUAAAUAUGUUGAGAAAAGUAGCAGAUUAAAGACAUAGGAUCAUUGGUUUAUUCAAUAUUUCAUCUUAUACUAGCUUUUCUUGUUAUUGAUCUUUUUUUGGUGAUUUUACUAAUCUAGAAUCCAAAGGUAUGGACAAAUCUCCAUCGAGAUGCUUGUACAAAUACCUAACUUAAUCAGUUCACUAUAUGUCUAUAGGAAUCAAUUAAAUUAAGUUCAUUAAGCAAGUGUCCUAAUUUAGCUAUGUAUGGCAAUUGGCAUAUAUCUACCCGAAUCGCAAAUCAGAUCGCCAAAGUGAUGUGAACAUACACUAUUCAAAUCUUAGUCCAACCUAAAAUCUCAAUGUCGGUUUCUAAUUAGAUUCAUGAAUCAAUUAAUUGUUAAUUAGGCAAUUCAAGGCAUUAAGAAUAUAUUUGAAUAAGUAAAACAAUACCCAUUCAUGAUAAAUAACAAAAAAAAAAAACAAGUAUUCAGACUACAUGUUGAAAUCCACCAUAAUACUAGAUAACCAAAUUAUUUCAUAAUAUCUAGAUAAAACACUAUCCAAAGAAAUUUAGCCAUGAAUUUAAAACAAAAAAAAAAAAGAAACAUAAAAAGAGAGAAAUAAACUAAUGUUGAACCCUGGCUGAUUACGAAACUCUCUCAAUUGCUCUUGAAUUCUUGAUUGAUUAGUAUCUCCAAUUCUCUAAAAAAGCUGUUGUUGUCUCUCUCUUUGAAUACUCUCAAAAAACCUCAUAAAUAUGUGCAAGAUGCCCUACUUUCCAAUUUUCGAUCAAAAUUUUAAUUUUAGAAGUCAGAGUGGUACUGCGGCCAUGACUUCUUGGCACCGCGGCACUAUGACAAGCUUUGGUAGCACCACGACACUCCUUUUUGGUUCUGCGACGCCAUGCUAUCAACCUUCAGUAUGAUGCACCCAUCCAGCCCAACACCAUGAUCAUAAGCUUCUAACAAUGCGGGGUGGUCCUUUCAGCAUCACUGCCUUGAGUAACUCAGCAUCACAGCCUCAAGCACCAUGUUACCUUAUGUGCAGUCUGCAAUUGCCUAUCAUCUUCAAAUGUGAUUUUCACCUCUAUCUAUUCUAAACUUUGCAAAGUGGUAAACAUAAAAUUAUAUCCCAUUCCCUUAACUUUAAAUUACGACAUGUACGUGUGACACGUUCACCAUACUUAUGCUAUCAUAACUCAAUUUCACCUUGCUCAUCACAUAUCCUGGACAAAAACCAUGAAAGAAUUGCAUUAACUCUUCUUAAAGUAAAUUAAAAACAAAAUAAAGUAAAAUUAAACUAAAAUAACUUAAUUUAACUAUUCAACAUGUAAUCUAACUUACAUUAGAAAAACACUUAAAAUGCUAAAAUCUGAACCUAAAACUCUAAGGUCUAGCUACUAAAGCCCCCAAAAUGUGUUAAAAAUAACUAUAUAUAAUAGAGUUAUCAAUUUGAAAAUUGUGAUUCUGAAAUAUUUUGCAAUGAAAAUUGUUUUGAUCAAAAUUUUUGAGCCUUAAAACUCCACAACAUAAUGGAGUUGUUAAAAAAAUGGGCCUUUGAAGAAAAUGGCAAGAACAAUGCUUUGUGAAAACAAUUUGCCAAAAUAUUUUAUGGCUAAAGCUGUAAAUACAGCUUUUUUAUUUUAAAUAAACCAAUGAUUUCAAAAACUCUUUAUGAGCUUUACAAAGGAAGAAAACCAAACAUUGCACAUUUAAGGAAUUUUGGAUGCAAAUGCUUUAUUUUAAAUAAUGAAAACACACCUUGGGAAAGUUUGAUGUUAAGAGUGAUGAAGUUGUUUUCUUAGGUUAUGCAAUAAACUCUAAACCUUAUAAAUUGUUUAACAAAAAAACAUUAGUUGUAGAAGAAUUUAUUCAUGUUGUUUUUUAUGAGACUAAUGUUGCACUAAGAAAAGUAAUGCGUGAUGAUGAUGCAAAUGUUAUUGAGGAGAAAAUGGAAAAGAUGAACUUGGAGAACAAAGAAGAUGAUGAAGACAACUCCAAAAAAUGAAAUGAAGAAAAACCACCAUUGAAGGACUUGUAAAGAAUUGAAGAAUAGUAUAAUGAUCUUCUUAGAACUUAAAAAUUUGUAUGAAAUCAUCCUUAAGAGAAAAUAAUUAAAGAUCCCUUUGAAGGUGUCAAAACCAAAAGAGGACUAAAAGAAGCUUGUGAAUUUGUGGCAUAUAUAUCACACAUGGAACCCCAAGGAUUUUGAGGAAGCAAAAAAGGAAGAGAGUUGGAUGAUAACCAUGCAAGAAGAACUUGGCCAAUCUGAAAGGAACAAGGUAAGGUUAGUUGCUCAAGGUUACAGUCAAGAGAAAGGUAUUGAUUACAAUGAAACUUUUGCUCCUGUAGCUAGAUUAGAAGCAACUAUAUUUUUGCUUGCAUAUGCAUGUUACAUGAAUUUCAAAUUGUUCCAAAUAAAUGUUAAAAAUGCAUUUCUAAAUUAUCUUAUCCAAUAAGAGGUAUAUGUGAAACAGCCCCCUAGUUUUGGUGAUUUUGAGGAGAUUGAUCAAUUUUAUUAAUUGUAUAAAGCAUUACAUGGAUUGAAGUGAGCUCUUAAAGCUGGGUAUGAAAGACAUUGAAAAAAUUUGACUGAAAAAGGAUUUUUUUAAAAGGAGUGUAGAUACUACACUUUUUAUUAAGAAAAGCAAAAAUGAUUUACUUGUUCAAAUAUAUGUGAAUGAUAUAGUCUUCAGUGCUAUUAAUGAAAAGUUGUGUGAGAAUUUUGCUAAAGAAAUGCAGGGUGAGUUUUAAAUGCACAUGAUAGGAGAAUUAUGUUUCUUCCUUGGUCAACAAAUCAAGCAAUGUGAGAAUGAGAUGUUAAUCAACCAAGCUAAAUACACUAAGGAGAUGCUGAAAAAGUUUGGUAUGAUGAAUGUGAAAUUAGUUAGAACACCUAUGAUCUCCUCUACAAAGCUUGAUAGAAAUGAGAAAGGAAAUGAUGUGGACCAAAAACUCUAUAAAGGUAUGAUUGGUUCACUUUUUUAUUUAACAGAAAGUCCUGAUAUAUUGUUUAGUAUGUGCUUAUGUGCAAGAUUUCAAUCAUGUCCUAAAGAUCACGCUUAACUAUUGUAAAAAGGAUAUUUAAAUACCUCUUGGAUACCCAAGACUUAGGUUUAUUGUAUCUAAAAAAUGUCAUCUUUUGAACUUUUUGGCUGUUUCGAUAUUGAUUUUGCUAGCAGCGAAGUAGAUCAGAAUAGUACUAAUUGUACUUGUCAAUUUCUUGGAACCAUGCUUAUAUCUUUAUCUUGUAAGAAACAAAAUUCAGUUGCUCUUUCAAGUACUGAAGUUGAAUAUAUUUGAGUAGGUAGUUGUUGCGCACAAAUUUUAAGGAUUAGGAAAUAAUUAAAUGACUUUGGCAUGUUCAUGCAUAAUAUUCCUAUCUUUUGUAACAAUACUAGUGCCAUUAACAUCUCAAAUAUUCUUGUUUAAAACUAAGCAUAUUGAGAUUAGACAUCACUUUAUUAAAGAUCAUAUGCUUAAAGGAGAUGUUAAAAUUGAAUUUGUUCAUACCUUGCAUCAAUUAGCUUAUAUUUUCACCAAAACCUUGAGUGAAGACCAAUUUUGUAAAUUUAAAAGAGAAUUAGGAAUGCUUGAUGAGCAUGAACUUGGAUUGAAUUGCUUUGAAUAUGUUUUUAAUGAAUUCUCAUAUCUAUUGUGUAUUAAUUUCUUAUUCUGAUCAAUUAAAAGUGGCUUUUCAGUACUUACGAGAGCUUAACUGAUUAAAAUCAUGUUUUCAUCAAUUAAACUUGUUCUAGAAUAAAGGAUGUUCCAUUUAAUCAAUUAAAAAGUCUUUUAAUUGAUUAAUUUGUUUCUGGUCAAAAGUGGAUUUGGAACUCAAAACCUGUCCAUUUUGGCUUUAGAGCACUCAAAAGUCGACUAAAUAUCCAUGGAUUCCACUUUUUAUCAUUCCAAUAACAUUGUUUGAAUUUUGUUCUCCAAUAGGCGACUAGCUAUGAUAAAGAGUCAAUUAUGCUUGAUUCUUGCAUAUUGAAAAGCCAGAAAAAGGUGCAAAACAUGCAAUGUUCUAAGGCAUAAUGAUCUCAAAACAUGGAUUUGUGUGAGAAUAAUUUAGAAUUUCAUUUCAACCAUAUUUAGAACAUCAUUUUGGACAUGUAUAAUCAAAGAUUCUUCAAGAAAAAACAUGUGAACUCAAAUUUUGGCUUAUAUUGUUCAUUGUUCACAAAUGCUAAAAAGUUGAAAUGCUCAUUUGAAGAAUCAUGUCUCUAAUAUGCUCAAACAUAUUCAAUUUACAUCAUGAUGCGUGACUAUGGCUUAUAACAUGUACAAAAAUCAUUUAAACAAUGUUUAAGCAUAAUUAGCAUCAAAUUUAACAUUUUUAACAAUUUUCCGGCAUAUGAACAAAAAUGCCCUUGUGGUUGUUCAAGCACUCCUUUGCAACAAGAACAAGACAUAAUGGCACUUUCAAUAUAAAGCAUUCUUGUUCAAGCUUUAUAUCAUUGAAAUCAUUGUAGCCUCAAGCAUUACAAGAAGGUUUGUACUUUGCUUAAAAUAUCAUCAAUGUCAAAUUAUCAUACUCAUGAUUAUACUUAAGAAAACUCUUUCAAUCUAUUUUAUAAAUCAUGAGAGAAAUAUCAAGCAAAAUGGGAUUUAUGCAAUUCAUGUAUCAAAUCAAUUUUGCUCAACCAUGCUAUAUCAUCAAAAACAAUAAAUCAAUUUCAAUCAAAGAAAAUGAAAAGAUUUUGCAAGAAAAUCAAUUGAUAAAGGUUUAAUCUUUCGUUACAAACUUUUCAACUUGAAACGUUCAAGAUUAAACAUGCUUUGUGAAAAAUCAUGAGCUCAAUAUCACUCAAUUUUGUUCAUUUACGCUUGAAAUGAUUUAUGAAAUGUGUAAUAAGCAUAAUGAAUCAUGUUUAUGCAUGUCAAGGGUCAUUUGCAAAUAUCUCACAAUUAUUUUCCAAAAAUGCCCUUAUGACCAUUCAAGUUUACAAGCAAGCAUGCACAUCCAAUAAGAACAAGUAAUAAGUAUUUUCAUUAUGAAACAAACUUAUUCAAUUCAUAAAUCAUUCUAAACUUAAAGGAUGGCAACAUUUUUCUCAUAUAAGCUCAUUUUGCUUUAAAAGUACCAAUCAAAGUAGUCAAAACUUUCAAGCUCAUUAUCAACCAUCUUGAAGCAAGUUCUAGAAUGUAGAUCAAGAUUGUUCAAAUGGUCAACUUAUGUUAGGCACAAGAAAAUCAAGGACAAUUUUUCAACUCAAUUUUCCAUGUUUUAGGCUACUUGAAUAGGUGUGAGUGUAAGUCAUCACGUAUGCUCAUAUUUUUAUCACAUUAUGCAACCUUUUAGGUUUCAAAAUUAUGCUCAAAAAUCAUUUUUCCUCAAAGAAGUAGUAUGGAAACAAUUUCACAAAACAUGAGGAAAUUUUAUAGAAACAAUCUUCCAUAAUCAAGCAAUCUUGAUAAAACAAUUUUCUCAAAAUAAGAAUGAUAAUAUAUUCAAGUUCAAAUAUAAGUACAUACUCAAUCAUUAGAUUCUUACUUCCUUGCAACUUAUAGUAUGUAUCAUAUCAAAUCAAGUUGCAUAGCCAAGAUUUAUCAAUAAAGCUCAAAGAAUUAUGCACUUAAUAUUCAAGCAAGAAUAGGCAACCAAAGUUUUCAAUUAAGAAAAGCAAACCAUUUUAGAAAUCAAGCUAAAUCAAUGAAACAUUCAAUAAAUAAACAAUCAAAAUUCUCAUUUAAACAAACAAAAGGCUUUUAGCUUAGAGAUCACCCAUUUUCCUUUAUGUGUAACUAGAGAGCAUUCAUUCUUUAAGAAUUGUUCUUCCUUGCUCUAGCACACCUACAAGAGACAUUUUUCAUUUGAUUUUUGGUAUCCAAAUUGCUUUGGAUCCUUGAAAGUUAUUGUCACAGCCUAAAUUUUGAGCUAUGACUGGCGCAUGGGCCGAAUAGGCAUAGACCACUAAACCCAAGCAAGCCUAUUUAUACAAUCCCGAUCAUUAAUCCCAACCAUCAUUUCUAAAACCACAUAUUGCAAUUCUUAAUUAUAAAUAUUUCAAUAACGUUUUAUAGCAAUCCAAUAUUCACAUUUGUAUUAUGCUAACAUAGUAUCACUCAUUUGCCACCUUACAGUGGCAUCAGUAAUCAAAUAUACAUAUUUGAUUUUUAACAUGAAUCUUAGUGGUCUUCAUUACUUAUACAUGUAGACAAGCAUAAGACUCUUGACCGUUAGCGGAGUGACCAUGGAUGAAGGACAGCUACUGAGAUGCCAUAGUACUUACCAAAAGGAUGAGCAUAUGUAGACACUCAAUCUAGGUCCCAACUGUCUUCGAAUCUGAAAACAUGAAAUUUAAAAAUGUGAGUAUAAAACUCAGUGAGUGAACAUAAAAAGGGAACAAGCAAUCGAUAGGAAGAAUUUGGAAAUCACGAUGCACUUGUUUCAAAAACAAUGCAAUUGAUUUAAUUUCUUACUAGAACCCCUUCAUUUCAAACUUUGAUCAAUAACCUCAUAGUAUUGCAAAAACUCAUGAUCAAUCCAUGAAGUUAAAUGGGUGAAAAAUAUGUCAAAAUCAAGCAAGGUAGCAAGCAUGGCAGCAAAUUUCUCAUUAUAGCGAGAAAUAAUCUUAGUUUGCAUAUGUUUGAGUUUUUCUAUCAUAUCUCCCACUGCAAAAGUCCAAUUGACCUAAUUUUUCAACCAUUAGAAAUAUAAGAGGUAGGCCUACAACUUUGAUGUUUACUACUUUUCCCAUUUCGAAUGAGAAGGUAGUUAAAAUCUUCAUCAAAAUGAAAGCAUUGCAUCAAAACUUGAGAGUUUCUCGCUGCAAUGAGAUUUAUUCUCGCUGCAGCGAGAAUCAAGCCAGUGUGACCCCCAAAACUCGAGAGUUUCUUGUUGCAGCGAAAUUGAAUCUUGCUAUUUAUUCUCGCUGCAGUGAAAAUCAAGCCAGUGUGACCCCCAAAACUCGAGAGUUUCUCGCUGCAGAGAAAAUGAAUCUCGCUGCAGCGAGAAACAGAGCAUUUUAAUUGAAAUGGGUCUUGUUACAUCAAAAGCCAUUUUCUUGUUGAAAUGAAAAACAAUUUGAGAGCAAUUAACAAUGCCAACUUGGAGCACAAUCACAAAUAUUUUCAUAACUUUCUAUAACACACACAUAUAUAUACAUAUGCAUUCAUCAUCAUGUGUGCACUCCCUACUCACACACUUCAACAUCAUCAUGUGUGCACUCCCUACUCGCACACUCUAACAUCAUCAUGUGUGCACUCUCUACUCGCACACUUCAACAUCCUCACACAACAUUAUUCAUCAAUGCACAAUGUAUAUUCAUAUACAUACAUACUAGCAUAAUAUAAUAGCACAUGGAUUCAUCCUUUUACACAUUUCACAUUUUCACAACAUCAAAGCAUUUUAUCAAAGGCUUGUUCCCUGGCACAUAUUUUUAAACAAAGGUUGAAUAAAAUCAUUCAAAUGUUUCAUCCAAAUACAUUUACAUCUCCCAAAGCAAAUUUUGAAAUGCAAGUUCACUCAUCGGUCUUGUUGAUUCUUUUGCUUGACUCUAACCUCAACUAAUACUCCAAAUGGACAUGUGAGGCCUUGUUGUAACCUAUACAUACAAAACAUCACAACCAACCCAAAUUGGCAAUAAUAUUGUCAAGAACCAAAUUUCGGGCCAUGACCAACGCAUGGGCCCAAUGGAUGUAGUCCACUAAGCCCAAGCAAGCCUAUUAAUAUGACCUGUUCAUCAUUCCAUCAAAAUUUGCUAGGUCACAUUUCAUAACUUUGAAUCAAAAUAAUACUAAGCAUUGCCAACUCAUAGUGGCAUGCCAAUUAAAGUGUACAUAUAUUGUCUCAACAUAUAUUUUAAUAAUUUACAUUGGUUUAUCUAUACACAACAAAAGAGCACUUGACUUCCAGCGGAGAGACCUGGGCGACGUACAGCUAUUGAAUGUCGAGAUACCUACCAAAGAGACGAAUCACGAGGGCACCUCAACCUAGUUAUCGACUGCCUCUUGAUCCUGAAAACAUGAAGUUGAAAACGGUGAGUAUAAACUCAGUGAGUGAACAUAAGAAGGGAACAAGCAACGAGAAGGAAGGUUUAAAGAAAUCAUGAUGCAUUUAUUUUCAAAACAAUGCAAUUUAGUUUCAUUCUUAUUAAAAAACCCCUCGUUAAACCCUUAAAUGGUUAAUCCCUUUAAAUGGCUAAUCAUUCGAUAAUGAUGAAUCCAUACAUAACAAAGAAUUUGAAGAAUGAAAGCUUCAAUGAUAUACAAGCAAGUUAAAUGAAACGUUGGGUCCUCACUGUAGCAGAAAGGCAUUCUCGCUGCAGUGAAAUUUGAGCUCAAGUUAUUAACUGGACGAGGGUUUCUCUCUAAAAUUCCUCAUUUCAAACUUAAUUAGAUAAUCCCCUAAAUGUUGGGAGUCCAUGCUCAACUAUGGUGUAAAUGAAAUGGAAAAGUAUGGCAAAAACCAGCAAGAUAGCAUAUCGGACAGAACGUUUCUCGCUACAACGAGAUUCUUUCUUGCUGUAGCAAAAUUCAAGUGGCCAAAACAGAAUGUUUCUCGCUGCAGCGAAAUUCAAGUGGCCAAAACAGAAUGUUUUUCGCUGUAGUGAGAAGCUCUAGAAAUUUUCUCGCUGUGGAGAGAAUCAGGUCAGGCAGACCCCUCAAACUUGAGAGUUUCUUGCUGCAGCGAGAAUAAUUCUUGCUGCAGCGAGAAACAAGGCACCAAAGAAAAGUUUCCAUUCUCUCAAGAAUAAGGCCAUCUUGCUGAAAUGACAAAAUCAACAUGAAACACUUAAAAAUUCCCAAAGUUCAACAUGCCAAAUUUUCAUAUGCAUUACAAUCAUAUACCAUAUUCAUGAGCUUUUAUUUCAUAAACAUAUAUAUACAUAUAUACAUAGAAAAACACCAAUACCACCAUCGUCUCACCCAGCUCAUGUGCAUCCCCCCACAUUGUGCACAUAGCCGGGGUCAUCGUGUGCAUCCCCUCACAUCGUGCACAAUUAGUGUCAUCGUGUGCAUCCCCCCACAUCGUGCACACGGGCACUUUCAUCAUCCAACUCCCUCAACACCGUCAUCACCGGCAUGUGCAUUCCCCCACAUCGUGCACACGCACGGUCAUCAUUAUCACACAAUAUCAACCAUCAAUGCACAACAUAUAUAUAUAUAUAUAUAUAUAUAUCAACAUAAUGUAGUAGUACAAGAAUCCAUAAUAGCCAUAUGCCACAUAUAGAGACAAUUUAUCAAAGGCUCGUUCCUAAGGCACCCGUUUUUAAGAAAAGUUGGAUAAAAUCAUUCAAAGGUUUUGUGCAAAUACAUUCAAAUGCAAGUUCACUCACCGAUAUUUUGUUGAACCUUUAGUCGACUCUAACUUCCCUAAUAGUCCAAAUGGGGCGAUGGGGCUUCGUUGGAACCUAUCAUCACAUUAGCAUCACCAUUAUGUCAAUUCACAUACUUAUAAAUUCUAAAAGCUAUCUCUUAGCUAGCUUCCAAUUGCCAUUUAAAUGGCUAUCUAUUUUCACUAUCCUAAUCACUCCAAAGUGAAUGAACAACAGCAACAAUAAAACACUCACAAAUCUAACUACUAGACAUUCUCAACACUUAAAUAUCAAUUCUAAUUCACUACUCACUUUGGUAGCUUUGUAAUUGAAAUUCUUUCCAAAAAAUUUCAAGCUAUCAUUGAAGCUCCCUCUUUUUGUCUUUAAAACACCUAGCUAGUGAGAGAAAGUAUGGAAGUAAGACUUAUCAAGGGUUUUAAAGUGAGAGAGUGAAAAAACACAUAGGUUCUAUGAAAGGGUGCACAAAAGCAUGAAAAUUGGAGCUAGUUUGAGAAAGGUUAUGGAGGUUUCAUAUCAAGCUUCCAUGGAGGAUGAAGAAACGUGAGAAGGAAGAAGGAAGGAGAAGAAGAAGCUGCUGAAAAUGUGAAAAGAAGCUGUUAGAAGCUGAUAUUUAUAACUCAAGCUUAUCCAACUUCACUUAAAUUACGAAAAUGCCCUUAACAAGCUAGCUUAUUCUUCUCCAAUCCUUUGUGCAAUCUUUUUACUCUUUUGACACUGAGGCCAGGUCCACAAGGGUCUAAAAAUACUCGAGUUUACAAAAACUUAAAAUUUUGACCCAAGAUGAAAAAUGACCAUUUUGCCCCUACCUCGAGAAUCAUCAUUAUUUUUAUUUCCUUCACCAUUUUACCCGUAUUUCAUCAUUCAUUUAUGCCUUGGGCCUACUUAGGCCAUAAUAUUGUUUAAAAACUUACUUUUAGGGACUUACUAAGGAAAUGACGAAACUACCCCUAGCUCGUGUUAUUGCGUCAUGCCUAGUUACGAGCUUAUAAAGGUCGAGGUCUCAUAAAUAUAAUCCAAAAGCUCUUUUCUAAUCAAGUUCCACUAGUUAUUCCUAACGAGCUUCCAAUUGCCAUUAAAUGGCUAGUUAUUCACACUACUUUAGUCACCCUAAGAGUGAAUAAACAACCUCAAUGAUAAACACUCACAAACCCUAUUGGUAGCCAUUAUCAACAACUAAAGAAAUUUAACCAUAACUUAUACUCACCUUGAUGGUCUUUGUAGUUGAAUUCUCUUUCAAAAUUCUUCAAGCUAACAAGGGAAAUCACUCUCUCUCUCUCUACAUGUCCAACUAGUGAGAAGAAAAUGGAAGUAAGACUUUUUUAAGGGUUUUAAGGUGAGAGAGUGAAAGAGCACAAAAGGUUCUAUGAAAAAGUGCUCAAAAGCAUGAAAUUGAAGCUAGAGAGAGAAAGUUAUGGAAGCUUUAAGGGAGGCUCCCAUGGAGAUGAAGAAACGUGAUAGGGGAAAGGAAGAAGAAAUGGCUAGAGGCUGCUGAAAAUUGCUGGAGCUUUAGAUAUUUGUAUCUAAAGUUUAUCAUUUCUCACAUAAAUUACCAAAAUGCCCUUAACAUGGUGACUUUGUCUUCCUCUCAUCCUUUGUGUAACUUUUUACUCUUUUGACACUAGGGCAAGGUCCAUAAUAGUCUAGAAAUACUCAAGUUCAUGAAAACAUAAAAAUUUAGACCCGAGCUACAAAAUGACUAUUUUGCCCCUACCAUGGAAAUUAUCAUUAUUUUUAUCUUCUUCAUUUAUUUACCAUCAUAAACAUCAUUUAUUCCUUCCUUAGGCCUAUUUAGACCUUAAUAGCAUCAAGAAAACCCACUCGUAAGAGCUCACCAAGAGAAAUUACGAAAUAACCCCUAGUCCGCAUUAUCACGUCUACUUCUAGUUAUGUGUCUAUAGAGAUCGAGAUUUCACAGGUUCACUUCUGAAUUAUCCUUUUUAACUUGGUAAUUAACCUCAAUUGGCAUCCGUAAACUUUAUUAGCCAUAGUAUCAAAAUAUGGGGUACUACAGUUAUUCUUGUUGUAUAAAGUUCCUUUUAGAACCCAUACUUGUCUAAAUUUAUAAGGUAAACAUUUUUUAAUUGGACAAGUGUAUGAAUAAUAACUAAAAAAUGUGCAAUGAUUGCAUUUGGUCAUUUUGGAAGAUGAAGAAUUCAUGAAAGCCUUUUGUUUCUCAUUUAAUAAAUCUUCAAAUUUUCUUUUCACAUCAAAAUUUUCUUUUUCCAAAAUAUCAAUUUUCUUUUGGUAAGCUUUAAAAUCUUUUUCCAAAUUUUCUUUUUCUUUUUCCAAGUCAAUUUUUACUUUCAUCAAAAAUUCAUUUUCAACAUCGAGUAUGGAAAUAAUUUUCUUGUGCUUUACAUUCAUUUUCUCAAACUAAAAUGCUAAAUCCUCAAAAGCAACAUGCAAUUCAUCAAAAGCAUAUGAAUUAAGUUCACAAAAUGAAGAAGUUACCUUUAUCUCUUCAAGAACCAUGAGGCAUAAUUCAAUUUGAUUUAAGGAUUUAUCUUCACUUGAUUCUUUGUGUGCAUUUGCCAUAUUGCUUGUUGAGCAUUGAUUCUCACAAGAGUUGUCUUCGAAUUCCUUUUGCUUCUUUAUUUCUCCAUAUAACUCUUCUAAUUUUUGUCAAAUUUCCUUGCCACUUUUGCACAUGAACACUUUAUCGUAUUCUCUAUAAUGAAGUGCACAAAAAAGAGUGUGCAUGGCCUAAGAGUUCGUUUGUACUUUCCUCAUUUCAGCUUCAAUCCAUUUAUUUCUUCUAUCUUUGGGAGUUUUCUCACCAUUUACAGAAUUUGUAAUCAUAGGAAUGAAAAGACCAUCGGUAAUGACAUCCCAUAUCUCAUAGUCAUAAGCCCUAAUAUAAAUGGACAUUCUAGUACUUUAAUAAGGAUAGUUUAAUCCAUCAAAUAGAUGAGGCAUAUUAAUGCAUUGAUCCUUAGCAUCAACAGAUUUUUCUAGAGCCAUUUGGAUCUCCCCUAAGGAUGUUAAGCCUUAAAAAUGAGGGUUAAGCUCUAAUACCACUUGUUGGUCCCAAAGAAUGUGCUAGAGGGAAGGUGAAUAGCACUUUUGGAAUGACACUAAAAUUUUUUCCAAGUAAAAAGCUGAUUAAAGGAAUUUAAAAAUGGAAAUUUAAAGCUUGCUAGAGGAAUGAUUCAAUUGCUGAGAGUAAGAAGAAAACAAAAGAAAGUAGACAAAACACAAUGAUUUAUAAUGGUUCGGUCCCCUUAACCUACAUCCACUACCUUGAUCUCCUAAUCAAGGAUUUUCAAACCAGUUCACUAAAAUCAAUGGAAUUCCCGAGCUUCCACCAAGUUUUUACAAUGGCUUUUCACAAGCUCAGCCACAACCUUUAACAAUGGUUUUUCACGAGAUCAACCAAAACCCAAAAUGGCUUUUCAAAGGCUCAACCACAACCUUUAACAAUGGUUUUUCAUGGGAUCAACCAAAAUCCAAAACUAACUUUUCUCAGGCUAAGUUAGAACCUACCACAACAACCAAGCUAACCCUACUUGAUCAACUCCUUAAAGUGGCUUGCACACUCUAAGUAAUCAAGAAAUGAAGAAAAGAUGAAGUACAAUUCAUCACCUAGCUAAUCUAAGAUGCACAAAGUUAAGCUCAAACACUUUUUCAAAGGAUAGGAGUGAAAUACAAGUGAAAAUAGAAGGUUUUUAGUCUUCUCAACUCAAAAUCACUUUGGAUAACUUCUCUAUAUUAUUUUUGACUGUUGGAGAGGCUUUAAAUACUUGCAAAAUCAAUUUUGGCCGUUGGAGACAAAAACUAGCCAUUUCUAGCUAUUAUUUUGUCCUUUUGUGCUUAAAUUCAAAUUUUCUAACAGAAUACUCUUAGUCGACUAACUAUGUUUCUUAGUCGAUUAAGUUGUCUCUAUUUUUAAACCCAGUCUCUAGCAGUAAGCUCUUAGUCAACUAACAAUGCUUCUUAGUCGAUUAAGUCAUCUUUGUUUUUGAACCUAGUUUUUAGCAAUAAGCUCUUAGUUGACUAACAAUGCUUCUUAAUCGAUUAAGUCGUCUCUGUUUCUGAACCGGCCAUCUUCAUUUUGAGUUUUAGUUGACUAUCUCCCUUGGUUAUCCGACUAAGAGGCUUCUGUUUGUAUCCAACACCCGCUUAAUUGAUUAAAUCUUGUGUUAACCAGUUAAGAUUAAUCUGUCUUCAUUAAAGCUCUUUCUUCUUUGCUUAUUUAACCAAUUAACCUAUCUUGCAACUGAACAAGCAUCUUGACUUGCUUUCAAAUACCAAAUAUAUUAAUGAAUUUAAGCUUUUUCCUACACACUCAAAUAAUAUAAUUAGACAUCAAUGAAUGGGAAUAUUUUGCUAUCGUAAAAAACAUACAAAGUCAACAUUCUCUAUCUCUUAUUUUUUAUGAUCACAAAACACUCCUAGAUUCAGAUUGCAAUGUCUAUAUUCAAUAUGAAUGCUUUAAAUCUUUAUGUGUAAUGAGUUGCUCCCCCUUAGUCAAUGCAUCUAGUUUUCUUUAGAUAAUAUUCAACAAAACCAAAACUAAGAAUCACACACAUAAAUUAAACAUGAAGUCUUUUAAACUCUAUUUAACUCAAUCUUCUUUCUCUCCUUUUUCUUUUUCAUCAUUAAACAAGAUAUUCAAAACUCCCCCUUAAUGAGUGCGUCUAGAUUUUCCUUUGAUCUUUAAGUCAGACUUUAAUGAAUGAGAAUCAUAAGCACUCAUACACUUUUAAUGAAUGAGAAUCAUAAGUACUCAUACACUUAAGUCAUACAAGCUUAUAGAUAUAGUUCAACUACUUCAAGAGUCAAGCUUGUGUCUAUGCAAAAACAAAUGUAUGGGAGUUAAAUCAUUUCAAGAAAUUAUCAAGGAUUACUCAAAUAAUGUUCAAGCAAAUUUGAUCAUUUUGUCAUAAUCAAAACUAUAAUAAUUUUAAAGUUAACACACUCAUAUUGAUAUUAUUAAUUCUUUUGUGCUAAAUUAACAAAUUUUGAAAACUGAGAAAUUGUUCAUGAGUGCUUGAUUUUUUUUUUAUUUUUCAUGUGCUUACAUUAAAAAAUCAUGUCUUGAGAAUUAAAAUGUUCAAAUGCUUAGUCUAGGAAUAAUUCUUGAAAUAUGUUUCAUGUUUGUACUUAACUGAUUGUUUCAAGAUUGAAUUAUUGCCUAGGCUCAUAAAAUUGAUUAAGAUGAAAUCAUUGAACUUUAUAAAAAAAAAAUUUCGUUCAUCUAUUGUUUUGGUCAAGUCAAAUGCUUACAUGACUUUUAAUCUUGAUUGACAUUAAUGAUUGAAGUCUAAAACUUGACUUAAGUAAUAGAAUUACUUAUGGUACAUAAUUUCAUAACUCAAGUCAAGUUUGAUUAUGACAUAUAUUGUGUUAACAUAGUUGAAAUCUUUUAAAUAUGAAUUUGAUUGUUAACUAUGUCUCUCACGGGCUUAAAUGAUUACAUAAUCUAAAGAUUUUGUGUACAUCCAACUUUAUCUAUAAAUAACUUUCAUGAUUAACGAACUUGAAUUAUUUUAGUGAGAUUAAGAGUAAUUCUAAGUUUAUUGGAGCUUGGAAUAUCUACGUCUAAAUGGAUUCCCCACUCACCUUUAUAGAAUUCAACUUGUUUAAGUUGGAAUGCAUGUUUUAUUUAAUUAUUUAAAUUUAUUUAAAAAAAUGGUAACUUUACAUAUUGUCUUAAUUAAUACAAGAGUUGUCUCAAUUUAGACAAAGUACAUAUGUUGUCUUAAUUAAGACAAUAGUUGUUUUAAUUUAGAUAGAAAUAUUUGUGUUGAUUGAAGAUAAGAGAUGUCUAAAUUAUAUUAUUUUAUUUUUGGUAAGUCAAAAAAUUGUCUUAAUGAAUAAGUAUUUUUUUAAAACAAGAGCUGUCUUAAAAUGAAAAAUAUUUAUUAAGAUAAUUAUUGUCUUGAGAUAAAAUAAUAUGGGAGGAUUUUAAUUAUAAUUAAAGAAUUAAAUAGUUUAUUCUUUAUUUACAAUUAAUUACAAUUUCUUGAUAAAUUAUAAGAGCCCAUGUUUGAUUAGAAUUUCUUCAUUUUAUUAUUAAUUUUUUUAAUUAAAGAUGGAUAAUAAUAAAAUAGAAUAUUUAUUUAAUAAGGAAUCAUAUUUUGACUUGGACAAAUAAUUAUAAUUAAAUAAAUAAAUUAUUGAUAUUUAAUUUUAAUUUUAAUUAUUAUUGGAGGAGUAUGGUACAACAAUAACAUUUUACAGAUGAGCAACUUGGACUCUUGAUAGCAAUUUAUUUUUAAUUAAAAAUAAAAAUAAAAGAAGAGUUCAUCAAGAAACAAAAUUAAAGGGUGGCUGUACCUUAUAAUAUAAAAAAGGGUAAAAGAAAAUUUCAUCAUCUUUUAAGGCCGAAACCUUAAGUCCAAAAAUUCCUCCAAGAAUCCUCCAUAGCCACCUUUUCUCUUUAGGUUCUUCUUGAUCUCCAAUCUAAGUAUAUUUUUCUAGAAACCUCUCACAAGAAAAACAACCAUAAAUUUAAAAAAGGAAAUGAGAGAAAUUCAAUUGUUACCAUCUUGAUUUAUUCCAUACCUUGUCUACUUAAGGUUCAAGCUGAAAGCCAUUCUUGAAGAAUAAGUGGUAACUUUAUUUCGUUGAGAAAUCGAUGGUGUGGUGGUGAAUUUAUUAUAAUUCACUAAGAGUCAAGAAUCAAGAAUCUUGUAAAGGAAAAACCUAUUUUAGUAAUUUGGGCAUAACUUUCUCUCUAGAGGUCCAAACGAUGUGAUUCUAAAGGCAUUGGACAGCUAAAAACAGAACUAUAAUUCUUAUGAUGACCAUAUUUCCCAGUUUGAAUGGGAUCAAGGAGAAAAAUUUGUCACUUGUUGCUAGUUAGUGGGAACCAAAUUUGAGGAACGAGAUCAAGGAAAGGUAUGUUCAUCAUUAUUUAUAGAUUCUUGAUUUUUAUAGAUGUGAUUACAUGAUUUUGCAAUAAGUGUGAUGUGUGAAUUCACUUGUGUAUUUGGAUUGCUUGCUUUUGUAGUUAGAAAAUUUUUGAAAUCCAUGGUUUACAUAAACACAUCUAUGCAUAAAGAUCCAAUCUCCAACAGUGACUCCCAUAGAGGCUCAUCAAGUAGGGAGCUUAAAAGAAUGAAACAAUGGUUGUUACACUCAACAUGAAUUUACUAUUAACUUACCUACAAUAGCUUUGUUAGUAUACUUCAUGCACCAAAUAAAGGUGCUUUUUAACCAUGUUAGGUAUGAAGAUAUGGGGUAACAUAGUUAAGUGGGAUGGUCCUAGUUACCUAGUAGUAAAUUCUCACAACCCACCAUCGCUUUAUUUAUCAUAAAAAAGUGAAUGACCACAGAACUAAUAAUAUAAUUUAUAGGGUUUUAUAUAUUAUCAUCAUGCAUGCAUUAAUCAAGAAUUGUUCGAAGUCCAUGUAUAACUAGUAUACUUAUAAAAUUUCAAAUGUACUUUUAGAAACAUAUUUGCAUGCAAACAUGAAUCCACUUUCCAUUUUGUUAAAUAAAUGUACUCUUGAAGGUGAUAACUAUAUUGAAUAGAAAAGGAACCAAAAUAUCGUCUUAAAUUAUGACAAAAUCACAUGGGUUCUUUCUAAGCAUGGGCCUAAACCACUUACUCCCAAAUCAACUCCAUAAGUGCUAUAUACUACUGAACAGCAUAUUGCAAAAGCAGCACAAGGGCAUAGGCUAAGUGCUAUAUGCUGCUGACAUGAUGUUGCACUUGCAUGUGAUGUUUAGUGCUAAAAUAAGGUCUGUUAAGGUAAAAGCAAUCAAUGCUUUUAAAGACCCUAAGUAGAAACUUGGGGAGCUAGUUAGGGAUUACAUGUUGAAAGUAAUCUCUUAUCUCAAUGAGGUAGCACUAUAUGGUGUUGAGAUAAUUACAGAAAUGCAAAUAUCCAUGAUCGUUCAUAGCCUAAAUUCAUCUUUUUCACAGUUCAAAUUGGAUUAUGAACUGCACAUUAGGGAUUACACCCUAAGUGGGCUAAUGAAUUAUUUGCAAAAUAUGGAAAAGUUUCUUGAAUUGAAAAAGAAACCAAAACCACAUGCAGUUUCCACUUCUAAGCCCAAACCCAAAGGUAAAAAGAAGAAAGCUAGAGAUAAAAAUAGUGUAAAAGGCUCAAUGGGAGUUAAGAAAAAGCCCAUGAAGAAGUUUACUUCAAAAGACAACACCCAGGGAAAGUGUUUCAACUGUGGUGAGAAAGGACAUUAAAAGUGAAAUUGCAAGGUUUACCUUGGAAUCCAAAAGAGUGAACAAGGUAUGGGUUUUCUAAAUGUAAUAGAAGCUUGUUUGGUGGUUUAUUCUAUAAAUACAUAGAUAGUAGAUUCUGAAGCCAUAAACCACGUUUGUUAUUCUCUGCAGGGUUUCAACAAAGGACAAAACUAACUUAAGGGUAGUUUCAAAUGAGGAUGGCAAUUGGCACUCAUUCAGCAAAAGUGAUGGGAGCCAUCGCUCUUCAAUUUCCUUAUGGUCGUAGUUUAUUUUGGGAAAAUGUUUCUUACAUUCCAAAGACUUAUAAAAAUUUAAAUUUUGUUUUUUGUUUAAUAAAGUCUAUAUAUUCAGUUUACUUUUUGUUAGAUAAAUAAGCUUAAAGUAAAGUAACCAAAAAGGGAGCUGAAUUGGUUAUCAAAUAAAAAUUUUCCUUUUUUGAAAUUUCAACAUAGCUAAAGUACAAAGAACGGAGUUAUAAAAAUAGAGUAUAAGCUAAGUAAGUAAACUGUAAAAAAGGAAAGAGUACCCAGCCAAGCUUUUAUUGAGGUUUGACCAUUGAUGCUUACGUCUUCUCCCUUGAUAGCACAAGGAGUUCGAAUCCACUAUCAACUUACCUUUUAACACGAGAUCAGGCGUAACUUUUACAAUAAAAUGCCUUUUGUCAAACCCUGUUCUAUAAAAUAAUUACGACGUCAUUUACAUGCUCAAUAGAAUGUUUACAGAUUUAGAGAGUUUGAGAAAUCGUUAAAAGACGAUAUUGCCCCUAAUGGUACCAUUGAGUCGAUUAAGCCUCGAACUAGUUCAAAUAGGAAUUUUAAGGUGAAAUUAAGAGUUUCACAAUUCAUGGAUGACUCAAAAUGGUAAUUCGGAGUUCGAGGAUCAAUUUGGAGUCAAACCAGAAUUUUCACUAUCUAGGGGUAAAAUGGUCAUUUGCCACUUGGGGACCAAAUGGGAAUUUUUAGAAAAGAUUUGUUUUGGUCCAUUUGACUUAUUGGAGUAUGAUUUAAGUAUUGGAAUAUGAUUUGAAGUUUAGAAGUGAAAAAUUUUAAUUCCUAUAUAAUUUGGAGUAUAAGGGUGAAAUGGUAAUUUUGCCACCUCGGGGGCAAAUCGGUAAAUUUUCACCCCCGACACUUGUCAAGACCAAGGGAUUUUAUUCAUCAUGGAAAUGGAUAAACAUGAGAAAUGUGUGGUGGAGAAUUAAAAAAUUAAAAGUCAAAUAUUUAAAAUUUGAGCCAAUAAGGAAAUGCCAUGUGUCGUGUUUUUAUUAUUUUAUUAUUUCUUUAUAAAANNNNNNNNNNNNNNNNNNNNNNNNNNNNNNNNNNNNNNNNNNNNNNNNNNNNNNNNNNNNNNNNNNNNNNNNNNNNNNNNNNNNNNNNNNNNNNNNNNNNNNNNNNNNNNNNNNNNNNNNNNNNNNNNNNNNNNNNNNNNNNNNNNNNNNNNNNNNNNNNNNNNNNNNNNNNNNNNNNNNNNNNNNNNNNNNNNNNNNNNNNNNNNNNNNNNNNNNNNNNNNNNNNNNNNNNNNNNNNNNNNNNNNNNNNNNNNNNNNNNNNNNNNNNNNNNNNNNNNNNNNNNNNNNNNNNNNNNNNNNNNNNNNNNNNNNNNNNNNNNNNNNNNNNNNNNNNNNNNNNNNNNNNNNNNNNNNNNNNNNNNNNNNNNNNNNNNNNNNNNNNNNNNNNNNNNNNNNNNNNNNNNNNNNNNNNNNNNNNNNNNNNNNNNNNNNNNNNNNNNNNNNNNNNNNNNNNNNNNNNNNNNNNNNNNNNNNNNNNNNNNNNNNNNNNNNNNNNNNNNNNNNNNNNNNNNNNNNNNNNNNNNNNNNNNNNNNNNNNNNNNNNNNNNNNNNNNNNNNNNNNNNNNNNNNNNNNNNNNNNNNNNNNNNNNNNNNNNNNNNNNNNNNNNNNNNNNNNNNNNNNNNNNNNNNNNNNNNNNNNNNNNNNNNNNNNNNNNNNNNNNNNNNNNNNNNNNNNNNNNNNNNNNNNNNNNNNNNNNNNNNNNNNNNNNNNNNNNNNNNNNNNNNNNNNNNNNNNNNNNNNNNNNNNNNNNNNNNNNNNNNNNNNNNNNNNNNNNNNNNNNNNNNNNNNNNNNNNNNNNNNNNNNNNAAAUUUAAUAAUGAUUUCAAAAAUAGAGUAAUUGGAGACCUAUACUAUGAUUGUGUUGUUUAUCCAUGAUUUUACAUUAAAUGGCUUAUGAUAAAUGUGGGUAUGACUGGUUAUUUUUAUGAUUUUAAGAAUAUGUGAACUGUGUGUUAAGUGAGCCAUGUCAUACUAUUGUGAUUUUAUUGGUUGGUGGAUUAUAAAGUGGGCACUACAGUGACAGAGGUUCCGUGGGCCAGCCUAAUUAGAGGGGCAUGGUUCCCAAUUAUUGAGCUUACCUCGAUUGGAGAGGCGCGUAGGAUAACUCUCGAGGUAGGAUUUGAGUACACUUCACGCUGGCCACCACGUGAAACUGGGAUUCAGCCAACACCGAGGAAUGGCUGUGUUGUCAGAGGUGAAAUGUGUUUGUGUGUGUGACAAUAAACAACCUUGGCGGGGUAUCCCUGUGAAUGGAUUUUUGACAAGGGCCAAGUUUUUGAAAAGUGCAUAAGCCAUGUUGAGUAAUUGGAUGAAAUCCAAUUAUUUAUAUGGGUUGGGAUGAAUUAUUUUAAUUGUCUCCUAUUACUCGGCUUUAGAUUAUUUUGAUGAUGUCUGUCUACUCACUCGAAUUUUAUAAUCUCACCCCUUCUUCCUAUCCAUUUUUCAGGCUCAGAAUAAUUUGUUAAUAGUUGAUUAAGACGAGAAUUAAUCUCGGAGUUGCAUCUUAGAAAGUAAGGGUUCGUAACCCUACAUUUUCUUAGUCAGUUGGGGGCCAACGUGUCACUGUAAAAGUAAUUUUAUUCUUCAGUUAUUUAAUUUAAAGUAUGUAUGAAUAUAUUUAGCUUUUACACCAUGUUUUUGGCGAGUUUCGGUAUUUUCGAAGAAAAAUAAUAAAAAUGCCCCUGUAAGCCAGAAAGUAAUAUUUUAUUGUUUUGAUUUGGAAAUGACUUAUGAUUUUUUUUGAAAUGUGAGAUUUAAUAACUAUCGCUCACUAGGGAGAUGUGAAGCUGAUGCUAAGUCUUGCGGGGUUUCGAUUGACAUUCGGGGUAAUGAGUGCCUAUCGGGACGUCGCGACGGUUGUCACGGGCUCGAUGAGAGUUUCGGGUCGUGACACCUUUUCAAGGAUCAAGCACAACCUCAACCAAAGUCACUACCUUUUUAGGAUCAAGCACAACAUUUACAAUCAAAAUGACUUUUAAGGAUCAAGGAGGUAUAAUUUAUACAAUAGUGGAUUCUUAAAAUAAUCUCUAGCUCAAAACCUAUAAUUGUUGGUCCUAAAUAAAUGUGUUAAAGGAGGGUGAAUAGUAUUUUUGGCUCUUACUAAACUUCAUUUCCAAUUGGGGGUAAAUUGAAGGUCAAUGAUGAGAAAUUUGAAGCAAGAUGAAGGAACGACUUAAGAAAGAAUGAAAAUGAAAAAUAAAACAGAGGAGAUAAAACUCAAAGAUUUAUAGUGGUUCAGUCAAAAACCUACAUCCACUACCUUGAUUGUUCAACCAAGGAUUUUUCAAACCAAAUCACUAAAAACAAUGGAAUUCCCUAGCUUCCACCAAGCUUUUACAAUGGCUUUUCAUUGGCUCAGCCACAACCUUUAACAAUGGUUUUUCACAAGAUCAACCAAAACCCAAAAUGGCUUUUCAAAGGCUCAAUCACAACCUUUAAUAAUGGAUUUUCACAGGAUCAACCAAAACUCAAAACUAACUUUUCUAAGGCUAAGUUAGAACCUACCACAGCAACCAAGCUAACCCAAGCUUGAUCAACCCCUUAGAGUGCCCUACACACUCUAAGUAAUCAAGAAAUGAAGAAAAGAUGAAGUACAAUUGAUCACCUAGUUGAUCUAAGAUGUACAAAGCUAAGCUCAAACACUUUUUCAAAGGAUAAGAGUGAAAUACAAGUGUAAAGAGAAGGUUUUUGGUCUUUUAAGCUCCAAAUCACUAUGGAUAGCUUUUCUCUCUUGUUUUUGACUGUUAGAGAGGCUUUAAAUACUUACAAAAUCAAUUCUGGCCAUUGGAGAUAGAAACUAGCCAUUUUUAGCUGUUAUUUUGUCUUCUAAUGCUCAAUUUAAAUUUUCUGGCAGAAUGAUCUUAGUCGACUAACUGAGCUCUUAGUCAACUAAGUUGUCUCUGUCUUCUGAUCCUAGUUUUUGACAAUGAGCUCUUAGUCAACUAACUUCUUUUUUAGUUGAUUAAAUUGUUUCUAUCUUGAAGUCCAGAUUUCUGGCAGUAGGCUUUUAGUCAACUAACUUACUUCUUGGUCAACUAAGUCUUCUCUGUUUCUGAACUAGCCAUCUUCAUUUUUGAGUUAUUAAUUUAUUAUUGACAUACAUUUUGUCCUGCACACUCAAGUAGUAGAGUUAGACAUAAAUGAAUGGCAAUGUUUUAUUAUCAUAAAAAACUUAUGGAGCCAACAAUCUUCCUUCUUUUUUUUUUUGGAUGACGACAAAACAUUCCUUGAUUAAUAGCACAAUGUCUAUUAACUCUUUUUGUUCUGCACAAGAUGAGGAAUUUCUCCCCUUGAGUGUGUGUGUCACGACCCAAAUUUCAGGCCAUGACCGGCGUAAGGGCCCAAUAGACGUAGUCCAUUAAGCCCAAGCAAGCCUAUUAAUCUAACAUGUUCAUCAUUCCAUCAUAAACUGCUAAGUCAUAUUUCAUAACUUAGAAUCAAAAUAAUAUUAGACAUUGCCACCUCAUAUUGGCAUACCAAACAAGUGUAUAUACAUUAUCUACAACAUGUAUCUUAAUAAUUUACAUUAGGUUUGUCUACACACAACAAAAGAAUACUCGACUUCCAGCGAAGAGACUCGGACUAAUGUACAGCUACUGAAUGCCGAGACACCUACCAAAAGAUGGAUACAAGUCUACAAGGACACCUCGUCCUAGUUAUUGGCUACCUCGUGAUCUGAAAACAUGAAGUUGAAAAUGGUGAGUAUAAACCCAGUGAGUGAACAAGGAAGGGAACAAGCAACCACAAGGGAAAUUUAAAAUCAUGAUGCACUUGUUUCAAAACAAUGCAAUUUAGUUCCAUUCAUAUUAAAAAACCCCUCAUCAAGCCCUUAAAUGAUUAAUCAUUUGAAAAUCAUGAACCCAUACAUAACGAACCAUUUGAAAAAUGAAAGCUUCAAUGAUACGCAAGCAAGUCAAAUGUGACAACAAAUCUUUGCUGCAGCGACGUUGGGAUUAAGUUACUAGCUGAACAAGGGUUUCUCAACUGGCCGAGGGUUUCUCACUAAACCUCGUCAUUUUAAACUUAACUCAUUUAGUCCUUAAUGUUGAAAGUCCAUGCUCAGAUAUGGUAACAAAGAAGUGAAAAAUAGGGCAGCAAUUGGACAAGAUAGGGGACAAAACAGAAAGUUUUUCACUGCAGUGAGAUUCAAUCUCGCUGCAACGAAAUUGUGACCUAAAAACAGAAAGUUUCUUGCUGCAACGAGAAUGAAUUUCGCUACAGCGAGAAGCUACAGUGUCAUUCUCACUGCAGUGAAAAUGCAUUCUCACUGCAGUGAGUUUUCAGCCAAUCUACCCCUCCAAACCCGAGAGUUUCUCGUUGCAGCAAAAAUGAUUCUCGCUAUAGCGAGAAACAGGGCACCAAUGAAAAAUUUUCCCUUCUUCCUAAAGAAAAACCACCCUGCUAAAAUGUCCAAACCAACAUGAAACGCAUGACAAUUUUCCAAGUUUAACAUGUCAAGUUUCACAUGCAUUACAACCAUAUACCAUUACUAAUUAAUUUCCUAUAACACACAUAUUUACAUAUGUAUAUAUGUAUAUGUAUACCCAUCAUCAUCAUGCACACCAUCCCAUCAUUAUGCACACCAUCCCAUCAUCAUCAUACACACCAUCACAUCAUCAUCAUCACCAGCUCAUGCACACUCCCUACUCGCACAUGGCUAGGUCAUCAUCGGGUUAUGCGCACUCCCUACUCACACAUAACCGAGUCAUUCUUGGCUUAUGCGCACUCCCUACUCGCACAUAGCCGAGUCAAUAUAAUUACACAACACUAUAGUCAAACACAUAUGUAUAUCAACAUAAUGCUGCAACAUAGAGAUCCAUGAUAACCACAUGUCAUAACAUAUAAUUGAUUUAUCAAAGGCUUGUUCCCAAGGCACUUGUUUUAACCAAAGUUGUAUAGAAUCAUUAAAAUACUUUGUACAAAACGGUCAUAUUCCCAAAACUAUUUUGAUAGGCAAUCCACUCACAAGUAUAUUGUUGAGCCUUUAGAUGACUUUAAUUCCCCUAAUUGUCCAAAUGGGAUGAUGGGGCUGUGAGACCUCAACCUCUAUAGGCUUGUAACUAAGUAUAGAUGUAAUAAUACGAGCCAGGGGUAGUUUCGUCAUUUUCUCUAAUAAGCUUCCAUAAGAAACGUUUAUGAUAAUUUAAGGCUUAAAUGGGUAUAAGACUGCAUAAAUGAUGUGUGCUGAUGAAAACAUGAAGAAAACUAGAAGUUUCAAUAAUUUUCAUAACAGGGGCAAAAUGGUCAUUUUUCACCUCGGGUUAAAACUUUAAGUUUUUAUGAACCCGAACAUGUCUAGACCAUUAUGGAUCUUGUCCCAGUGUUAAAAGAGUAAAAAGUUUGCAUAAAACAUUGGAGGAGAAUAAGUAAAUUGGUGGAAGGGCAUUUUCGUAAUUUUAAGAGAAAAGAUAAGAUUGCCUAUAAAUAUCUUGAAUUUCCAGCAACUUCUAGAGAUGUUCCAACAGCUGGUCUUCUUCUUCUUCUUCUUCUCCUCUCUCAUGUUUUUUCAAAACUCCAUGGAAGCUUGAUUUGAAGCUUGAAUGAUUUUCUCUCUCUAGCUCUAGUUUUCACACCUUUGAACCCUUUUGACUAGAACCUUUGAAUUCUUUCAUCCUCUCACUUUAAAACCCUUGAUAAAGCUUAUUUCCAUACUUUCUCUCACUAGUUGGGCAUUUUAGAGAGAGAAAAAGAGAAUUACUCUAUUGAUUUAGAAGCAAUUAGAAGAGAAUUUGACUACAAAGGAGCCCUAGGGUAAGUAAUGAACUAAGCUCGAUUUUUAGUUGCAGAAAAUGGCUAGUAAUUGGGAUUUAUGAGCUGUUUUAUUGUUGAGUAUGUUCAUUACUUUUAGUGAUUAAGAUAGUGAACAUAGAUAGCUAUUUAAUGUGGCAAUUGAAAACUAGCUAAGAGAUAGCUUUUAAAGUUCAUAGUGUGUAAAUUGAUCUAUUGUUUAUGUUAAUGUGAUCCUAGGUUUUAAGGAAGCCCCAUCAUCUCAUUUGGACAAUUAAGGGAAUUGGAGUCAUCUAAAGGCUUUACAAUCAAUUGGUGAGUGGACUGCCUUCAAAACUUAUUUUGGGAAUAUAAUGUAUUUGAUAAACGUUUGAAUGAUUUUAUACGAUUUUUCAUGAAAAUGAAUGUCUUGGGAACAAGCUCUUGAGAAAUGAUUUAUGUUAUGAUAUGUGGUUAUUAUGGAUUUCUAUGUGGCUGCAUUAUAUUGAUAUACAUAUAUGCUUGAAUAUAAUGUUGUGUAAUUAUAUUGACUCGGCUAUGUGCGAGUACGGAGUGCGCAUAAGCCGAGGAUGACCCGGUUAUGUGCGAGUAGGGAGUACACAUAACCCGGUGAUGACCUAACCAUGUACAAGUAGGGAGUGCGCAUGAGCUGGUGAGGAUGAUGAUGGGAUGGUGUGAUGAUGAUGAUGGGUAUAAGCGUAUAUAUAUAUAUAUAUGUAAAUAUGUGUGUCAUAGGAAAUUGAUGGAUAAUGGGUUCUGGUUGUAAUGCAUGUGAAACUUGACAUGUUAAACCUUGAGAAAUUGUUAUGUGUUUCAUAUUGGUUUUGAACAUUUCAAGCAGGGUGGUUUUNNNNNNNNNNNNNNNNNNNNNNNNNNNNNNNNNNNNNNNNNNNNNNNNNNNNNNNNNNNNNNNNNNNNNNNNNNNNNNNNNNNNNNNNNNNNNNNNNNNNNNNNNNNNNNNNNNNNNNNNNNNNNNNNNNNNNNNNNNNNNNNNNNNNNNNNNNNNNNNNNNNNNNNNNNNNNNNNNNNNNNNNNNNNNNNNNNNNNNNNNNNNNNNNNNNNNNNNNNNNNNNNNNNNNNNNNNNNNNNNNNNNNNNNNNNNNNNNNNNNNNNNNNNNNNNNNNNNNNNNNNNNNNNNNNNNNNNNNNNNNNNNNNNNNNNNNNNNNNNNNNNNNNNNNNNNNNNNNNNNNNNNNNNNNNNNNNNNNNNNNNNNNNNNNNNNNNNNNNNNNNNNNNNNNNNNNNNNNNNNNNNNNNNNNNNNNNNNNNNNNNNNNNNNNNNNNNNNNNNNNNNNNNNNNNNNNNNNNNNNNNNNNNNNNNNNNNNNNNNNNNNNNNNNNNNNNNNNNNNNNNNNNNNNNNNNNNNNNNNNNNNNNNNNNNNNNNNNNNNNNNNNNNNNNNNNNNNNNNNNNNNNNNNNNNNNNNNNNNNNNNNNNNNNNNNNNNNNNNNNNNNNNNNNNNNNNNNNNNNNNNNNNNNNNNNNNNNNNNNNNNNNNNNNNNNNNNNNNNNNNNNNNNNNNNNNNNNNNNNNNNNNNNNNNNNNNNNNNNNNNNNNNNNNNNNNNNNNNNNNNNNNNNNNNNNNNNNNNNNNNNNNNNNNNNNNNNNNNNNNNNNNNNNNNNNNNNNNNNNNNNNNNNNNNNNNNNNNNNNNNNNNNNNNNNNNNNNNNNNNNNNNNNNNNNNNNNNNNNNNNNNNNNNNNNNNNNNNNNNNNNNNNNNNNNNNNNNNNNNNNNNNNNNNNNNNNNNNNNNNNNNNNNNNNNNNNNNNNNNNNNNNNNNNNNNNNNNNNNNNNNNNNNNNNNNNNNNNNNNNNNNNNNNNNNNNNNNNNNNNNNNNNNNNNNNNNNNNNNNNNNNNNNNNNNNNGAGUAAUGCCAGUACGAGUUGGCAAUGUAUAUCACUAUUUUGAUUCAAAAGUAUGAAAUAUGACUUAGCGAUAUUUGAUGGAAUGAUGAGUAGGAUAAAUCGAUAGGCUUGCUUGGGCUUAAUAGACUACGUUUAUUGGGCCCUUGUGCCGGUCAUGGCCCGAAAAUUUGGGUCGUGACAGGGGCUUCCUUGAAACCUACCAUCACAUUAACAUCACCAUUAUGUUAAUUCACAUACUAUAAACCCUAAAAGCUAUCUCUCAACUAGCUUUCAAUUGUCACUUUAAAUGAUUAUCGAUGUUCACUAUCUUAAUCACUAUAAAAUGAAUGAACAUACUCAACAAUAAAACAGCUCAUAAUCCCAAUUACUAGCCAUUAUUCACAGCUAAAAAUCAAGCUUAGUUCAUCACUCACCCUAGGGUUUCUUUGUAGUUGAAUUCUCUUCCAAUAGCUUCCAAACAAAUGGUGUAAUUCUCUCUUUCUCUCUCUAGAAUGCCCAACUAGUGAGGAAAAGUAUGAAAAUAAGAUUUUUCAAGGGUUUUAAGAAGAGAGAGUGGAAGAAUACAAGGGUUCUAGUCAUAAAGGCACAAAGGUAUGAAAACUAGAGCUAGAGAGAGAAAAUCAUGCAAGCUCCAUAUCAAGCUUCCGUGGAGGUUGGAAGCAAUGUGAAAGAAAAAAAGGAGGAAGAAGAAAAAGCUGCUGGAAAAUGGGAGAAAAAGCUGCUGGAAGAAAAAUAUUUAUAGCCAAUCUUAUCCAUUCCACUUAAAUUACCAAAAUGCCCCUCCACCAAUUAACUUACUCUCCUCCAACCCUUUAUGAAAUCUUUUUACUCCUUUGACACUGGGACAAGGUCCAUAAUGGUCUAGACAUACUCGGGUUCAUGAACGCUUAUAAUUUUAACCCGAGGUGAAAAAUGACCAUUUUGCCUCUACCAUGAAAAUCAUCAAAAUUUUUGUUUCCUUUUCAUUUUACCCCUAAUUUCAUCAUCUAUUUAUGCCUUAGGCCUACUUAGGCCUUAAUAUUGUUUAAACUUACUUUUAUGGGUUUGGUAAGGAAAUGACAAAAUUACUCUUGAUCAGGGAUAUCACGUAUACUUCCCUUUACAAGUCUAUAAAGGUCAAGGUCUCAUAGUGUGCCCCCCCUUAAUGUAUGCAUGAUCUUUUCAAGUUAUUUUGUUAUCCAACUUAGCAAGUCAGUUAAUUUUUUAUCUAUUUCUUAAUGAAAAUAACAAGCAUUGAUUCAAACAUUUGACAGAGCAUAUUCAUGAAUUGUCUUACAAGCUUGCAGAGCUACCAGUUAUAAGUAACAAGAUAUUAUCAAUAUUUUGACCAUUUAUACCAUCAUCAGCAUAUUAUCAACAAACCAUAUCCAUUCUAGAAUCAAAUGUCAUUAACAAGCCAACAAAGAUAACAUAAAAGCAUAACAAAAGUAAGUCAUCAGCAUCCAAAUCCUAACCAUCAACAAUUAUCAUAGCAGAAUGUCAAAUUCUAACCAUCAGCAAUUAUCACAGCAGAAUGUUAUAAGUAACUAAGUAUCACACACAUAAAUUAAACAUGAAGACCUAUCAAACUCUGUUUAACUUAGUCUUCCUUCUCUCCUUUUUCUUUUUCAUCAUUAAACAAGAUAUUCAAAACUUUCACUUAAUGAAUGCAUCAAGAUUUUCCUUGAAUCUUUAAAUCAAACUUUAAUGAAUGAGAAUUAUAAGCACUCAUGCACCUAAGUCAUACAAGCUUAUAGAUAUAGUUCAAUAACUUCAAGAGUCAAGCUUGUGCCUAUGUAAGAACAAAUGUAUGGGAGUUAAAUCAUUUCAAGAAAUUGUCAAGGAUUACUCAAAUAAUGUUCAAGCAAAUUUGAUCAUUUUGUCAUAAUCAAAACUAUAAUAAUUUUAAAGCUAACACUAAUAAAGCUAGUAAGGAAUUUGAGUACAAAAAGAUGAGAGCUUUCUCAAGAAUUAUGAACGAUAAAGUGAAGUUUAAGCUCAAGAAACUCUAGCUAAGAAAUAAAAAUGUGAUCUUGGUUUUCUGCUCUUGCUAAAAAAAAGGAUUUUUUUUUGUUCACAACUUUCUUACUUGUUUUUGCUAUUUUCUUUGCUUUUCAAUUCUUUUCAAUCUCUUCAAAAGUGUGUCUAUAAUGUCCUCAGAUUGGAUAUUUAUAGGCCCCGUGAUUUCUUUCCUUUUGGAAUGAAAUUUGAAUAAACUUUUAUACAUUUUGGCCAACUUGCACAUUUCUAUCGCAUAUGUAGAAUCGAUUCUUUGUUCAUGAGUUAUCAGUUCUUCAUAAAAUCUAAAAUUUUUUGUCUCUAUAGAAUUGAUUCUUCCUUCUUGAGAUGCCGAUUCUUCCACAACUUGGCUCAAAGGUGACAUCUUUACACUUUAGUAAAAUCAAUUCUUUUAUUCCAAGGAGUCGAUUCUUCACUAUGGUCUAGUGCCAAAAUUUGAAUUUGAGCUUGCUUUUUUGGCACUCCAAUCUUAUCCAAUUGUACCAUCUCUUUAUUCUUCACCAAGUUUAUGAUUUUUUUCAUUGGUGCUUCAAGAACCAAUAUCUUCUUCCUCCAAUAUCGAUUCUUUGUCUUUAGACUUUAAAUAUUUGAUUCAUUCUCACUCAAAACCGAUGAUUGCUUCAUGGAGAAUCAAUUUUUUCAUGCUUGAAUUCUUCCUUCUGCAUUUUGUUCUACUAGAAUUGAUUCUUGCUCUCUAAGCUGUCGAUUCUUCUCAAAUCUUGAAGCUUCUAUCUUCCAAGAACUGACUUUUUCUCUUAUUAGAAUUGAUUCUUCUCAUAAUAAGGGAAUAAAUUUUUCUUUCCACUCUUUUAAGAAUCGAUUCUUUAAGGCUGGCACUUGAGUUCAAGUUUGCUUAAAACCUUUUUUUCUUUGCAAGCUAAACUUCAGAAUUCUUAAGGAUUUUCUUCAAGUUUAAAAAUAUUUCUAAUCAUUUCCAAUUCAUGUUUAGAUCAAUCAAUUUUGUCAUUUCAAAACCAAGGUAAAGCUAACAAUCUCUCCUUUUUUUUUAUGACAAAAUUAAGAGCUAAAUUUGCUCAUUGAAAAACUCCUUUUGAAUUUAUGCUUAACAUUUGAAAAGAUCCCAGAACCAGGGUAACAUUAUAAAAAGGAUUUGAAAGGAUGUUCAGAACUCCGCCUGAGUUUGUGCACUUUUCAAAAUGAUUGCAUGAUAUUUUAAAAGCCCUUUUGAAAUCAUUGUUUAGGAAAAUCCAACCAAAUAUAUGAAAAGCUUUGGCAAAUUUACUCCUAAUAUUUUCCCCUUUUUUUAUGUAAAUAGAGUUAGAAUAAUGAGAAGAAAAACUCAUAGGAAAACAAAGCAUUAGUAGUACAAUAUAAAUACCAUUUAAAGACAAAGCAUAUAGACAUUCAUAGCAAGAUAGUUCAAUCAAUUAUACUUAUAGAUGUCAAAACAAAUAAUGUGAAUCUUGCAUUAUCAAUAUCUAAAUAACAAAACCAUUUAGAUCAAAACAUUAAUCAAUGAGACGUAUCUAUGAACAUGUAGAAGUCAUCCAACAAGAAUGUCACGACCCAAAUCUAGGGCCAUGACCGACGCAAAGGUAUUGAUGGGAGUUACCCUCUUAACCCAUGCAAGCCUAAGAUGAACAAUUCAAGUCAAUACUUGGAAUUACCUCAUGGGACUCAUCACCAUGGAACUGUACAUAAAACAUAUACGAACAUAUCAAAUCACAUAAGAUUAAAUCAUAUUAGUUUACACAUUAACGUGGCCAAAAUGAGAAAGCAAUAAUCAGUAAAAUAUCAUUUAUAGGCCAUCCUAUGGCAUUUACAUAGUGUGGCCAUUACUUGGCAAAUUCCAUAUACAUAUCAUUAAUACAAGACGUAAAUAUAGUCAUAUUUAUAACAGUCAAACAAAAUGACCAAACCAAAUAGGACCAACAGAGAACAACUCAAAACAAAAGGGCUAACACCUACUUGAUGCCAUAAGAUAACCUACCAAAAACUGAUCAAAGUGUUGGCUCUUCCCAAAGGACAAUGAGCCAAGCAACUAUUGAUAUGCAAAACAAGUGCAUCUUACAUUUAUGAGUUGUAAAUAACUUCAUAAGCAGAUACGAGAAGGGGGAACUAGCUAAACGGGAGAGUGUUUGUCCAAAAUACUUUUAAAAUAAAUGUAAAUAAUCUGAUUCAAAAAAAUAACAAAGUUGCCUUUCAACUGUAACAAUUUUUCCUAAGGGUUUAGGAAUUUAAUCCUAAGCAAAAUCAAGCAUCCUAUAGUGCGAGUUAUGUGCCAAGUAUGAUCACAUAUCAAACAAACUUCAAUACCAUCGCCUCGAUGGAUACAAACUUAUUUAGAAGGAUUUUAUAAAAUUUUGUUGGAAACCAUUCUCAAACCUUUGAAAUAAAAAUUAUAGUUUGUAAAACAUUCAAGUAUUCCCAAAAAAUAAUUUAUUUAUAUUGAGGUUUAAAGCUUUUGUAAAACAAAGUGUAGUUCAAAGAAAAUGAAGUAAUGUUGUUGUCUUUAGAAAAUCUUUGAGGAAAACGAAUGAAUUUCAAAUUAACAUAAUUUGCAUUACAUUGUGUAAAUCAAGUUUGAAUACCAUAUACAAAUGCCAAAAAUCUAAACAAAUAACAACUCAAGCACCAAGGUCGAAAUCAAUGUCAAUUCCAAGAAUCGAGGUCAAAACAAAUACCAAAUCUAAAGUCCAAAGUUGAGAUAAUAUCAAUACCAAAGUCCAAAAUCCAAAACAAUUAUCAAGCUUCAAUUCCAUAGCAUAACAUAUCAUUUCAAAUAAGUCGUGGAGCACUAAGUAGCAUGGUCAACUAAAUCAAAAUAUGUCGUAGCACUAAAGGGGUCGGAUACAUAAUAGUCACCAACCGUAUAUCAAAAGUGGUAAAAGUCGUAUCAUCUACCAAACAAAACCAAAUCAAGGGGGUAAGACUCUAUCAACUACCUAAUAAAAGUUAAGCAUUGUGCACAAUGACUAAUGUCUACUGUCACUAGCUAUAGGUCCAUAACUCAAGUAGGCUCCACUAAAACAUAUGUAUUAUUUUUACUAAUAUCCAAAUACUUGAUCCCACAUGAAGAGAAGAAUCCAAUCACCAUCCAAGAAACAGAGGGUUUAAUAAAAUGAAGUCAGGUGUACAAAGUCUAUUGCCAAGCAAAGUAUAUUCUCCAUCAUCAACAAAAUAAGAAUUUGAAGCAAAUGCUAAAUCAAAUCAUCAAUCUCAAGGCAAAUUGACCCGAUGCUAGGGUCUAUGCAAGGUAAAUAACUUCGUUUUAAAUUUCCAAACUUGCAAUCAUUCAAAUAGUCAUAAACAAACAUAGAUUUUUUAGGUAUCAAACAUUUCAAAAGGAUUUUUCCCCAUGCCAAAGCUAUAUACAUAGUAACAUAUUUACAUAAGAUAUCUAGAUUUCAUAAAAUAAUCUUAAAACCAUUAUUCAUAACACAAAGUCCAUCAAAAUACGUUGUUGUAGAAUAGGCAUGCUUAAUUAUAUUAAAAUAAUUAAAAAUGUUGUAUCUACCCACUUCUUGAAACGCGCUUUUUUUUUUCUCUUGGCACCUUUCGUUAAAAGCUUGACUUUCCUAACAACUCAAAUUACUCCAAUAUCACCUAAAAAUGAUAUUUAAUCAUCAAUACUCUCAAAGUCCUAAUAAAAUGAUAUUCAAUCAUCAAUUUCGUCAACAACCUUUAAAAAUUUCAUAAUACUUUGAAUAUCCAUUUCUAACCCUAUUUAAUCUCCACUUAUUUCUAAUUAUUUCCACCAAACUUUCACCCAAACUUCAUACCCAAUAAAUAAAAAACUUAUUUUACCUAUUUGUCCUCUUUGGUGAGCCUUUAGUGGAGAGAUCUAGCCCAAUCUUGAAAACUUAAAAAAUUUAUAGCUUUUAAAAAGAGAAAACAAAAAUCAUCAAAACUAAGUUUUUUGGGAGUGAAAAUCCUUACCUUUAGGACUUAGAAUCCAAGAUUUAUUGAUAAGUUUGAAGGUUUUGAAAGGUUUGAAAUUUGAGAGAAAUUGGGUGGCGAAAUAAGGAGAUAAGAGAAGAAUGAGAAAUUUUCAAGUUUUAAGGCUUUUAAGCUUGUUUUAAGCUAACUAGGCAAUUUAGGAUUGACUAUGGAGGGUCUAUAGUCAAUCCUGGACUAGAAGGUUUUGGUUUCACUCAUUUCCCCUUCACAAAAUUGACUAUAAAGGAUCUAUACCCAAUCUUGGACCAGAAUGUUCACUUUUCACUUAGUUUUCCUUCACAAGAUCAACUAUAAGCCCUCUACUAUUGGCUCCAUUAGUUUUUGAUGAUAAUAAAACAUUCCCAUUCAUUUGUGUCUAAUUUCUUUACUUGAGUGUGUAGGAAAAUUAAUGUAUGAAAUUAAUAAAUCAAUCUUUCAAAGUGAAUAUCAAAAGAAAAAAAAAGAUAAAAAAAAUAAGACAUGACUGCUUAACUAGAAGGAAGCUCAUUAGAUGAAUAAGGAAGAAUGUUGGUUGGCCAAGAUUCAAAUUGGAGAAAUGACGGGCUGAAGAAUAUUGAGAAACAGAACCAACUUAGUAGACUAAGAAAUGAGCUAGUCGACUAAGUGCUUACUGCCAGAACUGCCAAAAAUAGGGAGCAGAAAACAGAGACGACUUAGUCAACUAAGAUAUCAGUUAGUCGACUAAGAGCAUUCUGCUUGCAAGUUUGAAAUCUGCACUAAAAGAUAGAGUAACGGCUAGAACUGACUCCUAACUGUCUCCAACGACUAGAAAACUAUUAAACUGCCAUCAGAGAUGUUUCUCCAAGUAUAAAAGAGUCUUCCAACAGUUAGAAACUAGUUUUUAGAAGUUUUGGAGGAGAUUUGAGCCAUAUAGAGCUGAAAAACCAGAAAAUCUUCUCUACACCUUGCUGCACUCAAACGCCCAUCCUUGAAUUUGUAUUAUGCACUCAACCUUGUACCAUUUAGAUCAACUUGUGAUCAUAGGUACUUUUUUUUACCUUUUUUCUUCUAUUCUUAGAGUGAGAGAGUCACUCUGAGUAGUUGUUUCAAGUUAGGAUUGCUUGAAGGUGUUAAGGUUCUAACUUAGCCUUUAAAAGUUAGGUGUUGGGUUAUAGUUGAGCUUGGGAAAAACUAGUGCAAAAGGUUUUGGCUGAGCCUUGUAAAAGCCAUUGUAAAGCUUGGUGAAAGCUUGUGAAUUUCACCGAUUCUUAGUGGAUUUGUUGGGAAAAUCCUUGGUUGGAUAAUCAAGGUAGUGGAUGUAGGUCUUGGACCGAACCACUAUAAAUUGUUGUGCAUUGUCUACUCUAUUUUUUUAUUUUCAUUAUUCUGAAAAUUAGUUCCUUAUUUUGUCAAGAGUCGAUUUGUGCUAUUCACCCUCACUCCAGCACAUAUUAUUGGGACCAACAAGUGGUAUUAGAGCUAGCUGUCUGUUAUUAAGGUCUAACACCCUUUGAGAGGAUCCAAAUGGCUCAACUAAAAUCAGUAGUGGCUGAGGGACAAUCAACAAAUAGACCACCUCUGUUUGAUGGCUCUAAUUACCCUUAUUGGAGCACUAGGAUGUUAAUCUAUAUUAGAGCUAUAGACUAUGAAAUGUGGGACGUCAUAACCGAUAGACCCUUUAUGCCCUCAACCGUGAAUGUGGUGACAAAUGAGUUGAUGCCAAAUCAAAGGUCUAAAUGGACUGAAACUGAAACUAAGAAAGCUCAAAUAAAUUUUAAGGCCAUCAACACAUUACAUUGUGCCUUGACCUCCACUGAAUUUAAUAAAGUCUCAAGCUGUUCAAUAGCUAAACAAGUGUGGGAGAAACUUAGAAUAAUCCAUGAAGGGACUUUUAAAGUAAAGGAGUCCAAAAUUGCCCUCUUAACACAUAACUAUGAAAUGUUCAAAAUGGAGCCUGGUGAAGACAUCACUAGCAUGUUAGAUAGGUUUACAAACAUCACAAAUAAAUUGAGUCAACUAGGCAAGCCUAUCCCUAAACAUGAAUUAGUAAAAAGACUACUUAAGAGUCUACCAAAAAAUUGGAAGCCUAAAGUGACUACAAUUCGAGAGGCAAAAGAUCUAAAUGUUAUCACCUUAGAUGAUAUUUGUGGCUCUCUCCUAACUCAUGAGCUAGAGCUUAAAAAGGAAGAAGAAAAAGAUAGGAGGGAACCAAAUGAAAAAAAAAAGAGCAUUGCACUUAAAGCUAGCAUCCUUGAGGAAGAGCUGGAAGAGUUGUCCUGUGAUGAUGAUGAAGAGUUAGCUUUGGUUGCAUGAAAAUUUAGAAAGCUUAUGGGCAGAAGAAAUCGGAGACUGGAUAAAAGAGGGUUUAGAAAAGAUCAAGGUGCUUCAUAAAAAAUCAGAAACAAAAAAAAAGGAGUUGAUUUGCUACGAAUUCAAGAAACUUGGUCACUUCAAGUCCGAGUGUCCAUUUAUGAAAGAUGAGACUCCAAAGAAAAAUAAGAAAUCCAAAAAAGCAGUGGCUGCUGCAUGGUUGGACAAUGACACAUCAAGCUCUGAAGCUGAAGAUGAAAAAUCUGAGGAAAGAGCAAACAUUUGUUUGAUGGCACAAAAGGAUGAAACCGAGGUAUCCUCAUCCCCCUAUGAUAUUUGCAUUAAUGAUUUAUAGGAUGAGUAUGACAGCCUCUGUGAUGAAUUUGAAAAACUUUUUUCAAAAUACAAAACAUUAAAGAAAAAGGAUGCAUCUAUUGAAAAUGAUUUGGAAAAGAUGAGACAAGAGUUCAAUUCUGUUUUUGAGCAAAGAAAUAUUUUGCAAAUUAAGUUAGGACACUCAAAAACAGAUUUUGAAGUUUUAAAAUUAGAGCUGAAUAAUAAGUCUGAUGUUGUGCAAAAAUUACUUAAUGAAAACACAGCUCUCAAAUGUUUGAAAAAUGAAUCUCCAAAAAGAUAUGCAUACCACAAUAAAAAUUCUGCUAAUGCAUUACCUAGAUGCAAUAAUUGUAGUAAACAUGGUCAUUUAUCAUAUGAUUAUUUUAAGAAAAGAAAUGUGCAGAAAAUCAGAAAAAUUUGGGUUCCUACAGGAUCCUAUAUUGCAAUUAACACUCAAGAAUCCAUCAAAGUAUGGGUACCUAUAAAGAAAAACUGAAAUAUUGUUUUGUAGGUUGAACUGCACUUAAAUGAGACAUGUUCAAGAGCUCAACUCAAGAAGAAGCAGCCUUGGUACAUGGACAAUGGCUGCUCACGGCACAUGACAGGAGAUGAAAUGUUAUUUGCUCAGCUAAACAAAAGAAAGGGAGGUACCGUAUCCUUUGGUGAUGAUUCAAAAAGUAGGAUUCAUAGGAUAGAUACGAUUGGUAAGAACUCCCAAACUCAAAUCAGUCACGUGUUGUUAGUUAAGAGUUUGAAGCAUAAUUUAUUGAGCAUUAGUCAAUUAUGUGACAAAGGAUUUAAAUUAUGUUUUGAUUCAAACAAGUGUGAAGUAAUAGAUAUAGGUACAAAUAAAGUCUCAUUUAUAAGAAAGAGAUUGAAGAAUAUGUAUGUUGUUUUUCUUGAGCAUCUUGAAAUAAAUAAUGAAAUAUGCCUUGUUACAAAUGCUGGAAAUGAUAACUAGUUAUGGCAUAGAAGAUUAGGACAUGUAAGCUUGCAUACUAUGUCAAAAUUGAUUAGAAAGAACUUAGUUGUUGGGCUGCCGGAUUUAAAAUUUGAAAAUGAGAAAAUAUGUGAUGCUUACCAACUAGGAAAACAAGUUAGAACAUCCUUCAAGACUAAGAAGAUUGUGUCAACAUCUAGACCUCUUGAAUUAUUACAUAUUGAUCUAUUUGGUCCAAUAAGCACAACUAGUUUAGGAGGAAAAUCAUAUGGCUUUGUAAUAGUUGAUGUUUAUUCUAGAUAUACUUGGGUUUAUUUUCUUGCUCACAAGAAUGAUGCUAUAUCAGUUUUUAUAAGUCAUUGUAAGAAAGUUAAGAAUGAAAAAAGACUAACCAUAGUUAGCAUAAGGAGUGAUCAUGGAGGAGAAUUUGAAAAUGAUGAAUUUGAGAAAUUUUGCAAUGAAAAGGGAUGGGAUCACAAUUUCUCUACACCUAGAACACCCCAGCAAAAUGGAGUGGUAGAGAGGAAAAAUCGAACAUUACAAGAAAUGGCUAGGACUAUGUUAUGUGAGAAUAACCUAACAAAAUAUUUUUGGGCUGAGGCUGUGAACACAGCAGCUUACAUACUUAAUAGAGUCUCAAUAAGAUCCAUGAUGUCUAAGACACCAUAUGAACUUUACAAGGGUAGGAAACCAAACAUUUCUCACCUUAGAAGUUUUGGCUGUAAAUGUUUUGUAUUGAACAAUGGAAAACAGCCCCUAGGAAAGUUUGAUGCAAAAAGUGAUGAGGCAAUAUUUUUAGGAUAUGCAUUAAACUCCAAGGCUUAUAGAGUUUUCAACAAAAGGACUCUAAAUGUUGAAGAAUCAAUCCAUGUAGUUUUUGAUGAGUCAAAUGAUUUACAAAAGGAAAGUCAUGUUGAUGAUGAUGAUGUAGAAAUCCUAGAAAACCAAAUGGAAGAAAUGAGCCUAGAGAACAAUAAGAAUAAUGAAGAAAGCUCAUCUAGAAGAGAAAAUGAAACUCCACCUCUAAAAGAUCUGCAAGAACAAAAAAUCAGCAUAGUGAUCUUCCAAGAAGUUGGAGAUUUGUAAGAGACCAUCCACAAAAGCAAAUCAUAGGUGACAUUUCUCAAGGUGUCAAAUCUAGAAAAGUAACUAGGGAGACUUGUGAAUUUUCAGCUUUCCUAUCUCAAAUUGAACCUAAAAACUUUGAAGAAGCUGAAAAUGAGGAAAGUUGGAUAAUGGCCAUGCAAGAGGAACUUGACCAAUUCAAAAGAAAUCAUGUAUGGUCACUAGUACCUAGACUUUCAAAUCACCCUAUUGUUGGCACAAAAUGGGUGUUUAGAAAUAAGGUAGAUGAGCAAGGAAAUGUAGUUAGAAAUAAGGUAGAUGAGCAAGGAAAUUUAGUUAGAAAUAAAACUAGGUUAGUAGCCCAAGGAUACAACCAAGAGGAAGGAAUAAACUAUGAUGAAACCUUUGCACCGGUUGCUAGAAUUGAAGCCAUAAGGAUGUCGUUAGCUUUCGCAUGCUUCAUGAAUUUCAAAUUGUACCAAAUGGAUGUAAAAAGUGCAUUUUUAAAUGGAUUCAUUCAAGAGGAAGUAUAUGUAGAACCACCACCAGGUUUUGAAGAUUUUGAAAAACUAGAUCAUGUUUUCAAACUCCACAAAGCUUUAUAGGGAUUGAAACAAGCUUCUAGAGCUUGGUAUGAGAGGCUUUCAAAAUUUAUGGUUGAAAAAGGUUAUGAUAAAGGCAGCAUUGAUACUGCAUUGUUUAUUAAAAGAUGUUUAAAUGAUCUAAUUGUUGUGCAAAUAUAUGUGGAUGACAUUGUAUUUGGUGUAACUAAUGAGGCUUUAUGCAAGAACUUUGCUAAAGAAAUGCAGGGUGAAUUUGAGAUGAGCAUGAUGGGAGAGUUGAAGUACUUUCUUGGUCUUCAAAUUAAAUAAAGUGAAGAAAGAAUCUUCAUCAACCAAGAAAGGUACACUCAAGAUAUGCUCAAAAAGUUCGAUAUGCUAAAGCUGAAACUAACCUCCACACCAAUGAGUCCAUCCACAAGACUUGAUCUUGAUGAAAAAGGAAAGAAUGUAGAUCAAAAGCUGUAUAGAGGUAUGAUCAGUUCACUACUUUAUUUAACAGCAAGCAGACCAGAUAUUCAGUUUAGCGUGUGUUUGUGUGCUAGAUUUCAGUCAUAACCUAAAGAAUCACACCUAACAAUUGUUAAAAGAAUUUUUAGAUACCUUUUAGAAACUCAAACUUUAGGAUUAUGGUAUUCUAGAGAAUCAUCAUUUGAUCUUGUAGGCUAUUCAGAUGCUGAUUUUGCUGGCAGCAAAACUGACAAGAAAAGUACUAGUGGAACAUGCCAAUUUCUAGGUAGCAUGCCUAUGCCAUGGUCCAGCAAGAAACAAAGUUCAGUAGCUUUAUCUACAGCUGAAGCAGAGUAUAUAUCACUAAGUAGCUAUUGUGCACAAAUUCUUUGGAUUAAACAACAAUUGAAAUACUAUGGAAUGACUAUCCAUAACGUACCAAUAUACUGUGAUAACACAAGUGCAAUUAAUAUAUCAAAAAAUCCUAUGCAACACUCUAGAACAAAACACAUUGAGAUUAGACAUCAUUUUGUUAGAGACCAUGCAGUGAAAAAUGAUGUUAAAAUUGAAUUUGUGAAUACUUUGCAUCAACUAGCUAAUAUUUUUACUAAACCGCUGAAUGAAGAUAAAUUCUAUGAAAUUAGAAGAAAUCUAGGUAUGAUUAGUCAACAGGAAUUGUGAGAAAACCUUUGGUUCAUGAACAUGAAACAGAAUGCAUUUAUUCGACUAAGAUAAAUCUUAGUCAACUAAGAGUAUUCUGGUAGCAUCAAAUAAUAAGACUUAGUGAAUAAAAUAAGGAAAGAAUAAAAUAAUAUAAAGCAUGUGUGUACCGAGUGAUAAGGAAAGAAGAAAUACUGCCUAAAGUGAAUAACCAAAAUUUAGAGGGAGUUUUGAAAUUUUGAGCAAAUAGAAUAGGGCAAUAUUUAAGGGGGGAGGUGAAUGAUUUUCUAAGAGAAAUUAAAACUACUGACAACUUCUUUUUCUCCAUUUUCUUUCCCCUAAAACUCAAAAAUCUUAAACCAAAACCCUUUUCUCUCCACUUUCUUGCCUAUGAAACCGACUCAUACCAAAACUAAAACUCUCAAACCCAAGUCUGAAAUUUUCAAAAUCAAAAUGGCAAAAACAUCUCAAAGUAGAGAAAUCAUUGAAAAGAAGAAGGGAAAGAGACCAGUGGAAGAAGGAUCAAAAAUGGAAUUACUGAAAAAGAAACAAAAAAUCACGUCUGCUUCAGUGAAAGAGAUAUCUGAGAAAUUGAAAGAAAAGAAGCAGAAAACAGAAAAAAAAAAGAAGGACAAGGAAUCCACACUUAAGAAACGUACUAGUUCUUCCUCUUCUAAGUUCAAAAAUAGGAUGCAUGAACUGAGGUUCAGAAAAAUUGAGAAUGCACCUAUAACUUAUGGCAAAUAUAAUGACUGGAAGAGUUUUAAUGAGAACUUAGAAAUUCAAACAAGUUUAUCCAACUAUUUUAAUGAAUUAAAACUGAAAGGAUAUAGCACUUUUAAGAAUAGAUCUUACAAUGCAAGUCUGGUAAAGGAGUUCUAUUCUAGCAUUGCUUUAGGAGAAAAAGAAUUAGAGGAUUCUGAUGACUAUGUCGAAAAUGGUCUGAAUGUGUAUUUGAAUGGGAAAAAAUUUGUUGUCAUUGCUUGUCACGACCCGGAACUCCCAUCGAGCCCGUGACAACCGUCGCGAUGUCCUAAUAGACAUUCAUUACCUGAAAUGCCAAUCGAAACCUAGCAAGGCAUAACAUCAGUUUUCUCGCUUCCCCUAUGAGUAUUAGUUACUAAAUCAUGUUUUAAAGUGAUAUGAAACAAUUUCAAUUCAAAAACAGUCAAAGAAAAAUUUCAACUACACAGGGGUAUUUUGGUCAUUUUUCACAAAAAUUCCAAAACUAGCUAAAAUGUACUGUAUGAGAGAAAUUUACACAUUUCAUAACCGAAAAUAAGUUUACAUAUCUAAAACAUUCAUUUAAAGUGAAAUUAUAGCUACUGGAAAAAAAUAAAAAUAAUAAAUAAAAUAUUCUAAUUUUUCAUAAAACAAUUUUUAUAGAGCACUAAGUAAAUAAUUUUUAUAGUGUCAAAGCAAAAUAAAUUCCUACAUACAGUAGCACACAUAGCCAAGUAUUCAAAACAUUUAACAAUGACAUGUGGGCCCUCGAAUGACUAAAAGUAAUGAAGGUUGUGAAGCUACAAUUUUUGAGGAUGCAAGUCCAACUGUAGCCCUCAACAAAAUGAGCUAUCUACCGACUAUCUUGAGCUGAAAUGGGUGCAAAUGAGGGUGGUGAGAUUUUAUAAUCCCAGUGAGUAAACAAAUACCAUCUAAAAUAUCUAAAGUUGAGUAAAUGGAUACAGAUAAAAUAGAUUAGCAUAAAAAUGAUUCACAACAUUUCGAACUCAUUUUAGUAAGAUAAAAUAGAUUCAUUUCACUCAAAAUAAACAACGAGGCUUAUGAUUUCCUGAAAAGCUUGGCUCGUGCCAAAAUCAUUCUUAUACUCAGUUGUCAGGGAUACCUUGGCUUGGAGCUAUCCCAACCGAGUCCACCAAGGCUGUUAAAAAGUCAUGUACGCAUAAAUCAUGUUUUUAUUUUGAAAACAUAGCCUUUCCUUGGCGUUGGCUUAGUUCACCCUUACGUGGUGGUUUGGCGUAAAGUGAACUCUAAAGUUGUACCUAGGAAGUUACCUUACACGCCUCUCUGAUCGAGGUAAGAAUAUAACAGGAUUUCGUGCCCCUCAAAAAGACUGGUCUAUAGAACCCGCCCACUGUAGCAAGCUAAACCCACCAUACAAUAAAAAUUCAACAGCAUGACAUGGCAAUUUUAUCAUUAUCUAGCCUAUCAAGGUAAACAACAAUUUAUACAUUUUCAACACAAAUACUCAUCCAGCCAUUCAUGCCCACAUUAUCAUAAGUCAUUCAAUUCAAAACAUAAUUUACAAUACAGCAAGUAGUCUCCAAUUACUCCAUUUUCAAAACCAUCGUUCAAUUUCAAGACAAUUUUAUAAAAUCAUUUCAUUUAAUCACAUUUUCCAUAAAAUCACAAAAACGAAUUAAAAUUCACUUUAGAUAAUUAAGAUGAUGAUAAGGUUACUCACUAUUUCGGGAGUCAAAUUUUGAGUACUCCGAUUCUUGAUCCUCGGGUACUAUCGCUUUACUUUUGCCAGAAAGCUCACCACCUAGACAUAAUGCACAAUAAGCCAUUUACUACAUUUGUGCUAAACCGUUGCAAAACCAAUUCAGGCUUUAUACUAAUGCAUGAAAUGGGAUGUGAAAUACUCGGGUAACUAUCUAAAUACGGUGUUCAAUAUAAAUUCAAUUAUGUACCUAAAUAAAAUGAUAUUGGCCUAAUUCAAUCUAUCACCCAAUUAAUUGGCCAAUAUGUCCAAUUUAACUCCAUUUUUCUUCUAAUUCUCCAAACCAUCAAACACAAGUCAAAUAACAUAAAAUUUAGCAAAAUCAUCUUUCUCUUGGGAAUUUCGGCCAUGGUGGGUGCAUCAAUACUAUGAUUUUUCCUACUUGAUUUUCUCACCGUAAUUCAUCAUUUCCUAACCAAUUCACUUGAAAUAAAAUCAAAUCCACCAUCCACACUCUACAUGGAAAAAUCGACCAAUGAUGGGUGAUGGGAGGAAGUGAAUUUUUCUUGUUAGCUUUUCAUGCUACACAUCACUAACUAACUAAAAACACUAAAAUACAUUGAAAUCUAACCAAAUCAAGCAUCAAAACCUCCCUCUAAGUGUUCGGCCAGCAAGGGAUUCAUCAUGAAAUCAUGUGAUUCAACCAUGGAAAAUGCAAAAGAAUGUAUGGGAAAGGUAGAUCGCAAGUCAAAAUCAAGAAAUUUUACCUUUGAUUGCUUGAUUACUUGAAAUCCACCAAUUUUCUCUUGAAUUUUCACUCUAGGGUUUUUGUUCUUUCUUUUCUUCCUUUGUUCUUGCUUUGGCCGGCCAUAAGAAUGAAUGUGGAAGAGUUCAAAUUGGCUUUAUAAAGGAAAAUAUUAAAUGGACAAAAAUUUACCAUGUGUCACCAUUCCAUUGGUC